RNAcentral lists this long non-coding RNA (65831 nucleotides) under Manihot esculenta (cassava). RNAcentral's name for it is "long non-coding RNA (MESC_LNC000468)". The record is from RNAcentral. Lineage: Eukaryota; Viridiplantae; Streptophyta; Magnoliopsida; Malpighiales; Euphorbiaceae.
UAAUCCCAGCUGUGCCGCACCGCCUUUUAACCCCUGUUUCGUGUUGACAAGGAGCUCAUCUCUUCCGCUUCGUCUUAGCCAGUUCGUCUGGACAAGGAGAAGCUCCUUCGAUUCGGCUGGACAAGGAGAAGCUCUUUUCUUCCGUUUCUUCUGUUCAUCGAUUCACUUGUCCUUGUAUCAAUUAUUCUUCAGUCAGCUAAUUUGGUCAUUGGCAAAAAUUUGUGAAGUAUAAAGAAAUUACAAAUCCUUGGUCAGGAAUCAACCCUAACUUCCAGAAUCCAGAAUUCAAUCUGUUGAUCUAAAAGCAUCAGGUAUUAUCUCUCUCAGAGUUUUUCAAUCGGCCCCUCACCCUAGCUAUUGUGUCUGUUGCUUUUGUGGGUUCUGUUAAUUCUGAUUUCUAGAGCCCAAUUGUAUUAAGCAGGUGAAACUCAAAUUAAGCAAUUAUGGGAGGUCAUGGAGGUCUUAACAUCCUUCCUCAGAAGCGGUGGAAUGUAUACAAUUAUGACAACAGAGAAAAAGUCCGGCGAGAUGAAGAAGCCGCCUCUAGAGAAGAGCAAUUAAAGCGUGAGCAGUCAAGAAAGCGCGACGCCGAGUUUCGCCUUGAGCGGCUUCGAACUGCUCGUGGUUUACCUCCUUUAAAUAAAUCAGAAGCAGAGCUCGAGCCAGAGCCAGAGCCCAGGCCGGAGCCUGCUCAAUCAGAACCAAAGUCCAACCACAUUAAUCUGUUUGAAGGGAUGAAGAUUUUUGACCCAAUUAAGGAAUUGGAGAAAGGGGGAGAUGCCGAGAGAGACGGAUCUAGAAAGAAGAAGAUGAAGAAAGAGGAGGUGAGAGUUGUUACUGCAGAGGAGGAGAAGUAUAGGUUGGGUUAUGGGGUUGCCGGAAAAGGAGUUAAGUUGCCCUGGUACCUCGAGAAACGCAGUGAUGAUGUGAAUGAGGAGAAGGAUGAAGAUGAUGGGUCCACGAGAGGGAAGAAGGAGGGUAAGAAGAGUGGCAAGAAGACAUUGCAAGAACUAAGGGAGGAAAGGCUGAAAAGGGAGAAGCAGGAGAAAGAGAGGGUACGGGCAUUGCUGGAGAAUAAGCAGAGAGAUAGAGCUGGUUUUAGGAGUGGAAUGAUUUCCAGGAGGUGAGUUUAUUGAGGGAUUUAUUAAGUUAGUAUAUUUUGCCUCUUUUAAAGUUGGUCUGUCUGCAAAUUUAAUGUGCACAAGCAUGAAAUUCGGCCUCUUGGUCAGCAUGUCAAUUUGAUUGUUAAUUCUGAUGUAUUUCUUUUUAGUUGUAGUGCUAUCUUAUAUGUCUGGAUUAAGAGCCUUCUAUAGGCUUCAUUUGGAUUCUUAUGUACAUCCUGAGUUUGAGAACUUAUUAUUUGUGAUUUUAAUACAACAUGAAAGAUUGAAAAGAAUCAAUGGGGCCUUCGUCCAUAUCAUAUAUAUGACUAAUGAAUCUUUGGUGAUGCUUAGCCUUCUUGUUUUAGGAUUCUAUUUAGUCAUCUGAUAGCAUUCUGGAAGGUAGUUCUGCCAUCUAUGCAACCUUAAUUACUGUCUUGGCCCUGCAUUCACAAAUUAAGAAGAGGCUUUGUCUAGUUUGUCUUAGAAACACUGCUAGAUCCAUUGUCUCAUUCCCGCAAUUUUGUCAAAUUUCAGGAUAUGUUAGCUAUUGAUGUUGUACAGAACUAACUCCAGUAAAUUGACUGUUGUGUUUUUAUUUUGACCCCUAAUGGCAUGUAGUUGUGGAUGGACUAGAUCAAUUCAAGCAAAAUCUUUGCUAUAAGACUCUUGUAUCAUCUUUGAAUUUUUGCUAUAGUUUAAAUGGAAGUAUUAAAAGAAUGCUUUACUCAACUGAUGCUGAUCAAGGCUGAUAAAUCAGAAAUCCCGGUGACUGCACUUUACCUGGCUUGGCUCAUAGUAUACAUGUAAAUCCAGGGUUUGCAUGAUUAAUAUAAAUAUAUCCACUAUCCCAGGGUCACAUAACAGAGCUGCUGCAUUCUUUUUCCUUUUUCUUCUGAAGAAUUUUUGUGCUAGCUUUUGUGUGAACGGUUUAUAGGCGUAUUGUGCUUGGACCGAUUAAGGAGAAAAUGAAACAUCAUGCAUGUGUUUGUUAAGAAAAUGAAGGAGUUGAGUCACUGAGUAUUUGAGUCUUUAUAAAGCUGUAUAUUGGGCAGAACAUGAAUGCAAAGGUCUAGAAUAAGGGGGCAUUACUGUUGAGAAUUUCUGGACAUGGAUAGGAGCUGUUGAAAAUUUUCUUAAGAGUGUCCUGAGGCGUUGAGAACUCCAUAAGCAUAUAUUGAUAAUGGCAAGGUGCCUUGCAUUUCUGCAAAGUGGCCUAUGUUUGCUAGAGAAGUGAUAGCUUAUAUAAUUGUUACCCAUAGAACCUUUCAGCCUAAAGUGUGUUAUAUUUUACCUCAUAUAUUUUGAGAUGCUAGAAGUGGAGAUUGGAAUAAACUAAUGUCUGAAUUGAAAGUUAAUUUUUAUAUUAAAAUAUUUAAAAAUUAUAAAUAUUAUUUAAUAAUUUAUAUAAACCAGUUUAAACAGAAAGUAAACAUAUAUAAAAGCAAAUAGAUAGUUAAAUUCUAUUUACGAGUAUUAAUUUUUAAAUUUAAAUUUAGUUACGUACUAUUUAAACUUAUUUUAAUAGAAUUUGAUAAAAUUAGAUAUCCGAAAAUACUCUAAAUAUUCUCUUAAUUUUGAAUGUAUAUUAUUAUUAUUUUUAUAUUUAAGAUAUCUACAUAUUUCUAUAAAUUAAAUUAUUUAUAUAAUUUAAAUAUAAGUAUCGUGCACACCACCUAUCCAUAUCUUUUUUUGAGUAGCUCGCAAUGAUGCUUAAACUUUUAAGAAAUUAAAAAUCAAGUUUGACGCUGACAAUACUCUAUUAUUUUCUUGAUAUCUCUCUCUCUCUAUAUAUAUACAUAUAUAACAUAUUUAAUCAUACUUAAUAAUUAUUAAGUAGUUAUUUACAUAUUUAUAUAAAAUAACUAUAAAUUCCAAUUAAUUAUUAAUGAUUUCUAACCAUUAAUUUAAUUAAUUAGUUACGGUUUAUAUAAUUAUAAUUUGUUCUAUCUAAAAGAAUUUACAUAUGAUCUCCAUAUUAAUAAUUGCUAAAAACUGCAUGAUUUUGACAUCCAAAAACUAAGGAUAAAUGUCAUAAAUCCCCGUAAAGACAGAUUUUCUCCAUUGUACCAAGUUUAACGCUAAUUCUUGAAGCAUGUAUAUAAUAAAUUUAAAUAUAUUAAUAUUACUUCAUUCAUAAUUUUUAUUUAUUUUAUUUUUUAUAUAUAUAUUAAAAAAUAUAAUUUUUUAUUGAUAUUUUAAUUAUAUUUAUUUUAAAUAAAUUAAAUUUUAUUAAAUAUUAAACAAUGUUUUAAAAAAAAUUUAAAAAUAAAAUAAAAUAAUAAUAAUUAAUUUAUAUGUUAUUAUAGUUUAAAAAAAGUGAAUAAUAAUUUUAAAAUAAUAAAAAUAUAAAUAAAAAUAAAAAUUAUGAAAUGAAAAAAAUAAUAUAAUAAUAUAAUUACAUAAUUUUAUUUAAAACCGCAUAAUUUUGAUUUAAAAGAAUGAGUACAAAUUCUCAACAGUCAAAAACUGCAUAGCUUAUAUAUAGCUUACCAUAUAUCUAUGCAGUUUUGGUCUGAAAAAUAAGGGUUAUCUCAUUCAUAAAUUAAAGUGAUUUUAUAAUUUGAUUCUGAAUUAAUAUAAUAGAAUCAAUAAUAUAUAUAUAUUUAACUAAGUUGAUUAUGUUUAUAUUAAUAUAUUUAUUUUAUAUAUACAUUAUAUAUGGUAAUUUUUUAAAUUAUAUAAUAUUAAGAAAACUCAAAUGAUAAAUAUUAAUAAUUUAUUUGUAGUAUAUACAUUAUCUUUUAAAUUAAAUGUGUGCUUUUUAAAUAUAUAUAUCAAAUGUGUUUUUCCAGCCAGGUUAGUUUAGUUAACGGCAUAGUUUUGAUAUAAAAAGGAAAAAACCAAAUAAAUCCUACACCUUCCUUUUGUUCCCAUGAUUUUUAGAUGAGCACUGAGCUCGAGUUGCCUGCGCAUGCCCUAAGCCCCUGAAUCUCUAAUGCACAUUCUCCAGCCAUAGUCCCAGCUGUGACACACCGCCUUUAAUCCCUGGUUCGUAUGGACAAGGAGCUCUUUUCUUCCACUUCGUCUUAGCUAGUUCGUCUGGACAAGGAGAAGCUCGUUUCUUCAAUUUGGUUUAUUCUUCAAUUCAGCUGGACAUGGAGAAGCUCUUUUCUUCCAUUUCUUCUGUUCUUCGAUUCACUUGUCCUUGGAUCAAUUCUUCUUCAGUCAGCUAAUUCGGUCAUUGGCUUGCUUCCAUUCGAUAUUUAUUAGCAGAACGGUUAGUGUUCCUUAAUCAAUUGGUUGUUUUGAUUAAUAUUGGUUGUCCAUGGUGAGAUUUGUGGGUUUUGUCAGUUACAUAAUGUCCUAGGAACUGCAUUAAGUUACAUUAGUUGGUUUAUUACCUAAAUCUAUUAGUUAUUUUGAGAUGUGCACUUGCAUUACAUUGAAAGGAUAUGUGUCAAUAUUGCUAAUUCGGAAUUUGAAUGGAUUCAGAUAGGAUACGGGUUUAAUUGAUCAAAUACUCGUUAUUCGAAUUCUAUCGGCUAAUAGAAUUUAAAUUUAGAAUAUUCAUGACUAUUCACGUAGAAAAUCCGUCGCAUUGAACACUAGACAUCUCAAAAUUUUGUGUUUGAGUUUCACCAAAACACUAAUUUUAAUAUUUAUAAAUUUUAUGUUAAUUUAUAAAUAUGUAUUAUACGCAUCUUGUUCAUUUAUCAAUUAUAUAUUGAAUAUUAAAUAUGAAAUAUUAUUUUAAUAUAAAAAUUAUUAAGUAAAUUAUAUUUUAUUUUUUAAAUUUUAACAUAACUGAUCUUUAUUUUUAAAAUCAAACACUUAAAUUUUAAAAAUCUCAAUAUUUUUAUUCCAUUUAAAUUAAAAGUCUUUCUAUCUUAAAAUAUAUUAAAAAAAGUCUUCCUUGAACUCUCUUUUCUUUUCUCCAUUUCAUCUCAUUCAAAUCCCAUAAUCCUUCUUUUCAACAUUCAUCUCUCUCAAACAAACUCUCAUUCUCUUCCAUCAUUUUAUCUCUCUCAAGCUUCUCUUCCCCCAUUUUUGCAAUUUCCACAAGAGGAGUAUCAUAUUAGGGAGAGCACGUGAUGGUUAAAUUCCAUAAACUUUUCAUCUUAUGGUAAUAAUAAAAAUGAUUUAGUUGUAUAAGGUAUUUGAAUGAAUGAAAAUAGUUGUUUUGUAAUGUUUGUUUUAACCGUGAAAAAUAUGAGGAAUUAAAAAUAAUAAAAAUUUUGAGAAAAUUGUAAUUUUUGAAUUCAGAAACUGAUAUGAUUUAAUACAUAAAAAUUGAAUAAUUUAAGUAUUUAUAAUUACUUGAAUUUUAUACCCAUAAAAUUUGUGAAAUAGCAGCAAGUAAAAAAAUUUCAAAUUAUUUUGUGUUCAUAUAUAAAAAAAAAUAAGUUAAUAUUAUAUAUUUAAUUUCAUUUUUUACUAAGAAAAUUAAAAAUGGUGGAAGUUUUGAGAAAACUACAAAUUUUAAAUUUAGGGAUUAAUAUGUUUUAAUACAUAAAAAUUGAAGAAUUUAAGUGUUUAUAAUUAUUUAAAUUUUAUAUCUAUAAAUUUUAAGAAAUCAUCGUAAGUUAGAGAAUUUCAAAUUUUGUUUUGUGUUUUUAUAUAAAGAGGAAGGAGGUAAUAUUAUAUAUUUAGUUUGAUUUGAUAUCAAAGAAAUUAAAAAUAAUAAAAACUUUAAAAAAAAACUGCAGAUUUUGAAUUCAAUAACCUACUUGUUUUAAUAUAUAGAAAUUACAAAAUGAGAAAGGAAGGAGAAUUUAAAUUUUUAGAUAUAAAAGUUUAUUUUGAACUAACGGAGAAAUAAAUGAAACUACUAUAUAUUUGAAUGUAAUAUUAAAGAGAUUUAAGUAUUCGAUUUUAAAAAUAAAGAGAUUGAUCUGUUAAUUAUGAUAUAAUUUAGAGGUUAAAAUAUAAUUUAUACAAAGUUAUUUAAUUAUAUUAUAAUAAUUAAUUAAUUAUUAUGAGUAGAUUAUAAGACUAACUCUCUAAUAAAUUAUGAUAACAUAUAUUAAUAGAUGUCUAACUACGACUUUAAUAUAUAUUUAUUAUGUUUAAUAUUUAAAUUUUAAAUAAUAAUAAUAAUUAAUUUUAAUUUAUAAAUACUAAAUAGAUAUACACUUAAUUUAUAUGUUUAGGUUAAUUAAUAAAUUAAUAAAUAAUAUAUAUAUAUAUAUAUAUAUAUAAUCAACAAAUGACUUUUGACUUAACUCUUCAAGAUUUAAUAGAUGGCAAUAAUAUAUAUUUAAUUAUAUUUUCUAAUAGAUGUCAAACUUAAUAUUUAAAUUAUAACUAAUAAUAAUAAUUAAUCUUAAUUUAUAUGAGAAUAUUACUUAAUUUAUAUAUUUAGGUUAAUUAACAAAUAUAUAUAUAUAUAUAAUCAACAAAUGACUAUCAAUUGACAUUUUAAUAGACGACAAUAAUGUAUAUUUAAUUAUAUUCUCUAAUAGAUGCUUACCUACAAUUUUAAUAUAUAUCUAUUAUGUUUAAUAUUUAAAUUAUGACUAAUAACAAUGAUAAACUAUUGCUUAACUCUUUAAUAAAUGACAAUAAUGUAUAUUUAAUUAUAUGUUCUCUAACUAUAAGCAUAUAUUGAUUAUGUUUAAUAUUUGAAUUACAACUAAUGAUAAUAAUUACUUUUAAUUUAUAAGUAUUAAAAUUAAUUAGUAUUUUUAUUUUUAUCAAAUAAUUAUUUUUAAGAUAUAUAUAUAUUUAAUAUUUAUAUACACUAAGUUGUAAACUUCUGAUUAUCAAAUCAGCAAUUUAAAUUAUAAAUGAUUAUUUUAAUAAUUAAUAUUUAAAAAAGCCUAUUGCACAAAAAAAUUCACACCCUGACCACUUUUUACCACAUUUUACUUUUUUAUCGUAACUUUAAAAUUUUAAAUAAUAAAGCUAAUCUUUUCAUAUUUGUUUCAAUUUUAUCAUUUUAUCUUAAUUAAUUUUAAUAAAAAAAUGUUUAAUAUUAUAUUAAAUAAAAAAUAUAAACAUUUAAAUUAAUUUAUAUUUAUAUAUAAAAUUUUAAAUUUUAAAAAAUAAAAUUCAUUUUUUAUUUGUCAUAAUUAUACUUAAAAAAUUAAAUUAAAUACAAAAAAUUAAUAAUAAUUUAUAAUAUUAUAACGACCCGAAAAUCGGAUCGCCACCGGCGCUAGGAUUCAGGUCGGCUUAAGGCCGCCAGAACCCGUAGCAAGCCUGUUAUACUCUCUGUAUACCUGUAAAUCUCAUACAUGAUCAUAAAUUUUCUGUGAAAAUAAAAACUUUUUUCUGGAUCAAGGCUCAACCUGUGCAUGCACUAUCUCUAUACUAUAGAACUCCCUGACUAGAGCUUGCUCCAGAUGGGUUAACUCAUACCUGUUAAGCUUGGUUUUUCACCUGCUCAUAAAACAGUGACAUAAACAGACUAUGUACACAAAAGAUUUACAGUACAAAUAAGUCAAGCACAACGUUAACUUAAAACACAACUAUUACAUCUCUUUAAUAUUACAUGUCCACACUAUACUAUUACAAAACUCUUUUCUCUUCCUGUACCCUACUGAACUUUCCCUGUAUACUGAACCUGCAAGACUGGGGUUAAGGGAGUGGGAUGAGCUCUAUAGCCCAGUGAGUAGAACAGUAAAACAGGUCAUUAACACAUGCUCUUAUGGAAUGCAUCAUAUCACAGACAAUUCACAUCAAGGGUAAACCUGUCACCACAAUAGUCCCAGUAUCACUUCCGUGCCAGGGCGUAGAAUGGGCACCUGGUCUUCCUGUCAUGUAUAUCUAUAUGUGUAUAUAACACCUGUACUUACCAUUGUGUCAGGGCGUAGACUGGGCACCUGGUCUUUUCUAUACCUGCCAGGGCGUAGAAUGGGCACCUGGUCUUUCUCAGGAACUAUUUGGAUCAUUCAGCAUCCACCCACAUCAACAAGUACGUAUGCAAUGCAACAUAUUCGUGAUUUCUAAUGCAAUCAACCUAGUACAUACUCAUGAUGUAUGAAAGAUGCUAAAAGCAUUAUUUUCUCAAUUAAAAGAAUUAAAUUGAGUUCCACUCACCUCUGGCUAUCUCUGGACUGAUUCUGCAAACUCUGAAGCAGUACUCACUGCUGCUCUCUUUGGUUCCUCUGGUCUAUGCCUACACAGAUGGACUCAAAUGAGGGACCAAACUAGCUCAAGAACAACUUUCUAAAACUCCUCAAGACUCCCCUUAAAUACCCUAAAACAAUCAGACAAAGCAUGCAAAGGAAGGCUGGACAGGGCACUUUCAGCGGCAGGUUCGGCGGCCGAAAGUCCUCUCCAGAGCCGAAAUGGAACAAUUGGUACUCACUCUCACCAGACUAUUCCCUUAAAGUAGGAGGUCAAGGGUUCGAGUAGUGGGGGAGACGACCUAAUUUCCAAAGGGAAAUUUGGGCCAAAUCCACUUGGGGAAGGAUGCGAUACGAGAACCCAAGGGGACAAAUCCUGCCAGGAACCCGUGAGGGUGAAUGGAUGUUAAGAGCUGUUCACGACGCCAGUGGAAAGCCCGAGGUGGCACGAGGCCAGGCGAGGGAUAGCCCUGGGCCGUGAACGGUAACAGUACCGGUGAAAGGGCCGGGUUGUUACACAUGCACCUUCGGCGGCCGAAUCUCUACUUUCGGCAGCCGAACCCUUUCGGGGACAAGUUUCGGGGGCUGAAAGGCACUCCAGAGACGAAAGUCCAUAACCUUCGGUGGUACCUUCGGCGACCGAAACUCCCCUCCAGAGCUGAAAGUCCAAACUCUCGGGGGCAAGCUUAGGCAACCGAAGCCACCUCCUCAGCACAUUCGGCGGCCGAACCACUCUUCGGCGGCCGAAGCUGGGUUCAUUAGCAAGGCAGAACCUUGCUCUGCCUCACGCCAAAACACACCAAUCUCAACCAAACUCAAACACCACAAUUCCUCUACAUCCAUAUACUCACGUAUAUGCACAAAGGGGUCAAAAACUACCUAAAACCCCAACUCAAACAUAACACAACACACAUAUACAUACUUUCAUCACAAAAACACCAAAAACACACGUUUUGCCCUAUUCAUGCAACUCUACCCUUAAACUCCAUAAAACCUCCACAAAAACAUGAAAAGAAGCUCAGGAUCUUCACUUACCUCUUGACACCAAGAAGAUGACCGAUCCUAAUGUGGAGAUAUGGAGCAACUCUCCUUCAAACCUCUCCAAACUUCAAAACUUAUGUUUUUAGCUCAAAACCUUCAAAAUAACAUAAAAACCAAUCAAACAUUUGCAAGAUUUGAUGAAAACAUGAAGAAGAUUCAAGGAAAAGCAUGGUCUCACCUCGGCCUAUGCAAAUGAACUCAAUCCUUAUCCAUUUGCCGACUGAGGGCCUUUUAUAGGUGGCUGGCCAGACCACCUUCGACGGCCUAACGUGAAACCAAAAGUCAUGCAUGUUCGGCUGCCGAACAUCACGUUCGGCUGCCGAACAUCACCUUCGGCUGCCGAACUUGACUUUUCUGCCUUGGUUCUUUUAUCUCAAAAACUCAUUUCCUUUUAACUUUAAAACUAUAUAGCAUACUAAAAUACUUUAGAAAAACAUAAAUCUUACCCUUCUAGAGGAUUCCGACAUCCUGGAUCCCACCGGAAAGUAGAAAUCCGAUACCGGAUUCUAGCCGGGUAUUACAAAUAUAAUCUUUAAAAUUUUAUUUGACUAAUAAAAUAAUUUUUAAAUAUAUAUUUUUAUUUCCAUAAUGUAUUUUUUAUUAAUCUUAUUAUUUACUUUUGAUUCUUAUUUUAUACACGCUAGUUUAAUAGAAAUUUAAAAUGUAAAUAAUUAUAAUAUAAAAUAUAUAUCACAAGAUUACUUAUUAAAUACGUGAAUAAAAUAAAAAUAUUAAAUAUCUCNNNNNNNNNNNNNNNNNNNNNNNNNNNNNNNNNNNNNNNNNNNNNNNNNNNNNNNNNNNNNNNNNNNNNNNNNNNNNNNNNNNNNNNNNNNNNNNNNNNNNNNNNNNNNNNNNNNNNNNNNNNNNNNNNNNNNNNNNNNNNNNNNNNNNNNNNNNNNNNNNNNNNNNNNNNNNNNNNNNNNNNNNNNNNNNNNNNNNNNNNNNNNNNNNNNNNNNNNNNNNNNNNNNNNNNNNNNNNNNNNNNNNNNNNNNNNNNNNNNNNNNNNNNNNNNNNNNNNNNNNNNNNNNNNNNNNNNNNNNNNNNNNNNNNNNNNNNNNNNNNNNNNNNNNNNNNNNNNNNNNNNNNNNNNNNNNNNNNNNNNNNNNNNNNNNNNNNNNNNNNNNNNNNNNNNNNNNNNUCAUUAUUUAAAAUUUUAAAUAUAAAUAUAAAUAUUUAAAUGUUUUAUUUAAUAAAAUUUAAAAAAAUUAUUUUACAUAAUUAAAAAUUUUUUAAUCAAAAUUAAUUAUGCAAAGUGACUGAAAUUAAGACAAAGUGAAAGUAUUAUAUAAAAAAUGAUAAAGUUCUGAUUUUUCUUUUUCCAUAGAGCUAAAAAAAAUUAUGUCUAUACUAACAAAACCACCCAAAGUCCCAAAUUCGCUUCCCACUUCCCAGCCCAGUCGGCGACAACCCUUCCCUCUCCCAGUCGGAGUCGGCGUCGCCUUUUCUCUCCUCAGUCGACGACAACUCUUCCCUCUCCCCAGUCAGCGACAUCUCCUUUUCUCUCCCCAGUUGGCGACAACUCCUUUCCCUCUCUCCAGUCGGCGACAACCCCUUUCACUCUCUCCUCAGUCGGUUUUUCUUUCUUUCGUUGAAUCGGUUAUUCUAGUAAUCAAGAUUUGACUGUAACUCUCUUCAGGUUUGUAAUCAGAUUUUGAUGAUAAAGAUUUUUUAAGUGCAUGUUGUUUAAGAUUUUUUAGUUGCUAUUAAAGAUCUUUAGAAUAUGGACUAUUAAUCUGAUUAUUUAGUUACUUUUAAAAAAUUUUUAGUUGCUGUUAAAGAUUUUUUAGGUAAUCAUCAAGAUUUUUUGUUUUGUUGUAUGAAAUAUUGUCAUUGUAAAUUUGCCAUUUAUCAUAGAAUUUCUAUUACCUUCUGUGAUAAAAUUGGGUGACCAGACUUCAGUCCCAUCUGGUUCUGUCUCUAUCACCUCACUAGAAGCACCAGAAUAUUCAUCUGAAUCAUCAAAUUUUGUAUAUGCCUUAUUCAUAGAUGGAGGCAUUCCUUCCAUGGAUGGAUCAAUGAUUUUAUCUGUUUUACCAAUAACCAAGAUUAGGCACCAAUUAUAUUGUUUAAUAGCACAACCUUACAAGAAUAGAAGAAAAUAGUGGCAUGCACCAUCAAGGUAGAAAAUGCUGCUAUAGAUUAGUCUGCAUUGAAAUUUUUUUAUGUCUUUCCACGUGCUUUAGUUCAUAUUUAUUAGUUCUUUGAUAAAGCUUUUAUCCCUUUCUUUUAAUGCUGGUUGAAUUAUAAUUUUAGCAUGGUUUAGAAUUAACUAGGUGAACUGGUGUGAUUAUUUUAGUUUGUGGUUAUGUAUUGACUUAAAUAAAUUUAUUUGUUGAUUAAGUUACUAUAUGUUAUUUGUUCUUGUGGUUAUAUAUAGUCCCUGGAACGGGAAUGAGUAUUAUGCGGGUAUUGUUAAAUGGAUUUGGAACGGAUAUGGGUGGUAAAAUUAAAAUACUAAACGGAUUUGAGACAGAUUUGGGAAUCGGGUUCGAAUUUGGGUACCCUCAAUUUUGCGGGUACCCUACCCUUUUACAUCCCUAGCUAUUUCGAAUACAGUAUAUUCAAGGCUCACAAAUAUCCACAACAAGGUUGCAACUGUUUUAUCUGUAAAUCUCAUUUAAAGUGCAAAUGAUUUUCUCUAUGCUUGCAUGUUUUGCCAUCCCAAAGUCUGCCAAUUUUAAAUGACCAUUUGGAUCCACAAGUGUGUUUGCUCCUUUUAUGUCUCUGUACAAGAAAUGCAAUUUAAAAUAUGAAGAAGCCUACAUAUGUAUGUGUGUGUAUAUAUAUAUGAAUCAUUAGCCUAGUGAUAUGAAUUGAUGGAAAUAUCUGUCCCAGUGUUGUAGAAAUUUCAAAUUUCCUACAGUUAUAUGGUUUAUGUGGCUGUUCCUCUGUUGUGCAGCUUAGGGGAGGAUGUUCAAGAAGUUGACAUUUUACUUGAUUGACCAUUGCCCAGCCAUUAUGUGGUACAUGUCUUACCUGAUAUAGAUGGUGCUCCUUUGCCUCAUCUAAACUGGGCCGGUUCUGACAUCUAUCCGUUUCAGUCUAAAUGUUUCAUCCAGAGAACAAUGUUGUUUAUUGGUCUCACUGAGCUCAGGCUUCUUGAACAAAUUUCUCAAAGCAUGCAUAGACCUCUGUAAGUAUUAAAAUCUGGACAUUCGCAUCAAUAGUGAAUAAUGCAAUGGGACUAUCACAACUUUUCAAGUUCUAAUGUUAGCUUCUCUUCAUUUGAUUUUCCAGGGGAAGAGUUCCUCUCUGGUCAAUUGCAAACUUGUGUAAUAAAUCAAAGUCAUGUAAACAUGUAUGGGCUUGUACUUCUUGGUUUAUAUUUUAAAAUGUCUAGUUAUCUCCUUGUUAAUUGCAAAACAGUUAGUGGUUCACAGUUUUGACUUCUAGUGAUGUUUGAACAGUUACUGACAACAUUGUUUACUGUGUAACAAUUAUGUGGUCACAGGGGGAUAGAAAUGUAGCUGGUGAUCUGGGAUUCUGUCGAAGUAUUGCUAUUUCAGUUGGUAAUAACAUGCAAACCUUCUACCUGGGAUGCAUUGCAUAUUGCUUUUUAUGUUAAUUAUACACACGAAUAUAUACACACAACCCACACCCGCACCCACCCACCCACCAAUCCAUGUGCUUAAAAAAUUACAAAGUAAUUUUAAUGUGCAAGUGUUAUAUUUAAUUGGUCUUUGGAAAUAUUUUNNNNNNNNNNNNNNNNNNNNNNNNNNNNNNNNNNNNNNNNNNNNNNNNNNNNNNNNNNNNNNNNNNNNNNNNNNNNNNNNNNNNNNNNNNNNNNNNNNNNNNNNNNNNNNNNNNNNNNNNNNNNNNNNNNNNNNNNNNNNNNNNNNNNNNNNNNNNNNNNNNNNNNNNNNNNNNNNNNNNNNNNNNNNNNNNNNNNNNNNNNNNNNNNNNNNNAAAAAAAAAAAAAAAAUCCAUCUUCCACCAGUUUGGGGUUUGGUGAUGUAGAUCUGAAUAAAUGUCUGACUGCUUAUACUUGUCAAUCAAUGUGUCUUAGUGCACUCUUGUAUGCAUGUGCUUAUAAGUACUUAAAGAAGAUGCUAAGAAUCAUGUAAAUAUUUUUUUUAAUGAUAUUUAGUACUGCAUGAUCUGAAAUGCAGGAGGUGAUUUUUUGGGAUAUGGAGAAGAAUUAACUAAAACUUCAAUUCAGAAGCAAAUUGUUGAUGCGCUUUACCUGGGUGAUAGAGGCAGAGCAUCCAAGCUGCUUUCAGAUCUCGGACAUGCUAACAAGUCACUAAGAGCUGCCGACUUUGUUGAUAUUUUUAAAUACUGUGCAAGAUCACCUGAUCCAUUGGUAAUCUAAUCACCUGGGAAAUUAGUUUAUCUAACAUUUCCUUCUUCAUCAUUUUUUCUUAUUUAUGUUGCCCAUAUAUAACAUAUAUAUUUUAAUUCAUUAGAUUGAAAAACUGGAUCAUUGUGCCAAAAUUGAAAUUUUUUGGUUUAGAUUGCAAAAGGACAAAAUGUUUGGAUUUUAAUACCACUAGGCCUAAAUAUAUAUGUCAUUUAAGCAAUUUGGGAGUUGUUGCACGUGUUUUGUUUCAAGUUGGGGUUGCUGUGGAUUUAAAUUGCUGUUGUGGUCAUAGUUAACAGAAACAAGACUGUAAUUUUUAUAAUGCAACAGUAAUGGCCUGUUGUUAUGUUAAUUGUUUUGAAAAAUUUGUUAUAUUCAUGAAAUGAAUAAAUAUUAAUAUGAGUAAAACUAAGAUAUACACCCAAAUAAUAAGCAUGAAUAUUUCAAUUAAAAAAUUAAAUCCAUCAUUUUUUGACAUUAUUGGCAUUAAUUGAUUUGAAGCUAAAAUAACUAUGUGGAUACAAAAUAAUAAUGCUUCAUACUAUAAAUUGAACAAAAAAAUAGCAUCAUAUUUAAUUUCUUCAACAAAUAAGCAAAAAUAAAAAUAAGUAACUCAAAUUACGCAAGAUAUAAAUUGUGUAGAACUAGAGAGAUAAUUGAUGAUCUUAGCUCAAGAGAGAAGAAGUGAAAGAUUCAUAGAAAGAUAGGAAGUUUUGGUAGGAAUUUGAGAGAAAAUGAGACAGCAUCUUAAAACUACCACUCCCACAUACCAGAACAAUUCCGAUUGGAUCAAAUGUUUGAAUUUUUUUUUAAAAUUUGAAUCCAUUUUACUUGCAAUAAUAGUUGUCAAAUCGAGAAUCAAAAUCUUUAUUUUGUAAAUUGGGAAUCAAAUCUAAUUGAAUCGUAGAAUUGGAUAAAAUUUUUUAAAAAUUAAUUAAAAAUAGUAUAUGUCUAAAAAGUAAGCGUAAAACUAUCAUAAUGACAUAUUUUAAUAAAUAUAGAAUUAUUAUUUAUCGAGUUAAAAAUAUGUUCUGUAAUAGAAUAAUAUAUUAUUAUGAUUAUGUUAUAUAGUUUUAUAUUAUAAAUUAGGAACUCUCAUUGAAUUGGAUACAAUGAUUAUCAUUAUGUAUGUGCUAAAACUCUUAUUUAAAUAUUAUCAAAUAAUUAAAUAAUAAAAAUAAGCUAGCAGCUUACAUUAAAAUAUUAAAAUAAAUUAAUCUAACAUGUCAUAGCUUGACAGCUAUAAUUGGAGAAGUAAAUGAACUAAAAGAAAAAAAAAUUGAGAGGGAAAAGAAUAGGUGAUGGAAGAACAACUAUAAUUGGAGAAGUAAAUGAACUAAAAGAAAAAAAAAUUGAGAGGGAAAAGAAUAGGUGAUGGAAGAAAAAUAGCUAAGGAAAGGUUUUAUGUGCACUUUUCAUAGCAAAAAUGAAAUCUUAAACUAACAACCCAGUUGAAAAUAAUCCCUUAAAUUGAGCAAAGACUCGCUCGAUUCAUAUUGAUUCAUCUGUUUUAUUAUCAAUUAUUUGACCUGGUCGCAAUUCAAUUACAUUUUCUAUUUGCUUCAUGGAUUCUGGAUUACUAGGAUGCGGAUUCGAAUAGAGAAUCAUAAGAUUCAAGUACAUUUAAGAUUCAUCCCAUAGAUUUGAAUCAAUAAGAUGGGAAAUAGAUUCAAAUCAAGGAUAGUCGUAAAAUUCUGGCAACAAUGCUUGCAAUAGUUACAUCAGCUUGCUUUUGGCUGCAGUUUGCCAUUGAGACGUGGAGCAUAAUGGAGGAAAAACAGAUUCCGCCCAAUAACACAUCCUGCCUGUUCAUGACUCGAGCCCUUUGUAAAGGGGGUUAUUUGAAUGAGGUAUAUGCAUGUGAAUUUAUUCUGUGAGAGUGUUUUGGAUGUGAUUAUUGUCUUUAUGCAUUGGAAAGAUUGUCACUAUUCUUGCCCCGCAUCUUGUUACUAGUUUACAAAAUUUUCAUUAAUAAUUAUGAAUGUUGGAGAUGUAAUCUUCUCACCAUUCUCGAUUGUUGGCUGAUUGUUGUUUCUGGGAUGACUGGGGUUUUCUGAUAAUCAGAGUGAAGUUUUUUUUUUUAAUUAUUUUUUUUAUGAGGGAUUGAUAUGAAUGAUGUUUGUAAUGAAAAAUGCAGUUAAGGUGUAGUAGAAGUACUGUUGAAAAUGUGUGGAAACUUGUCACUCCCUUUUCUUUAGGAUGAGAAGAUAAAGAGAUUGAUUAUGAUUAUUAAGUGUUCUUUUCUGUUUCUCUUGUGCUUUGUUCAGGCAUUUAAUCUGAUUAAUUUUAUUGGAGAGAAACAUGGCAUGACUCCUAGUCUUGCUGUGUAUAACAGUUUCUUGGGAGCAUGCUCAAAAUUGUGCAGUAUGGUUCAUGCUAAUCAGUGUUUGGAUUUGAUGGAGCGCAAAAUGAUGCGGAAGAAUGAAGUUACAUAUACAGAGCUUCUGAAGGUGUGUAAAUAGUACUGGGCUCGCAUAAAAGCUAGUUUCAGCUCAUAUUUCCCCUUACUACCCAACACCUUUUACUACACCCCAAAAAGGGUGCAUAAAUAAGAAAGCUAAUAGAAUGAAGAUAAUUUGCCUUCUAACUAGUUUUUAUUCGUUCUGUUGUUUCAGCUGAAAUGUUUGUGAAGUAUUCAGAGUAUUGCAAACGAAUUUCAUCAGAUUGUAUUCUAAUUUUUCUGUUUCUCUUGCAGCUUGCUGUCUAUAACCAAAACCUGUCUGCUGUCCAUGAAAUUUGGAAGGAUUAUAUCAAAUACUAUGGUCCAAGUAUUUUUUCUUUGCAAAGGUUUAUUUGUUCAUUUACAAGGUUAAGAGAUUUAAGUUCUGCAUACCAAGCAUUGCAAUAUAUGGUAGUUUUGGCCCUUCGAGGAAACACUUCUAUUAUGAGCAAUGCUGAAGGAAAGUUAUAUUCUUCACGAGUCUUGGACAUUCCGAUACCAAAUCUUGAAUCAAGCUUGCAGAGAUUUGACAUGGAGGAGUUUGAUGAACAGUUUGUUCCCUUAAAAGUGGAUGCUUAUAUUAGGAGCAUAGAAUGGAGUACUGUUUCUACAACCGGAAAAGAAGUCGAAAGUUCUGGAGUAGUUGGAUUGGGUAAAACUAAAUGCGUGCCUGCCAUGCAGCUUCUGAAGCCAUCUUUUGGCAAUGUAAUGCGUGCAUGUGCACAAAACCAAAAUUAUAGAUUAGCAGAGCAGUUAAUGAUUCAGGUCAGAUAUUGUUUUAGCCUUACAGAUUUCCUGGGAUAGUCAUUUGAUGUGAUGAUACCUUUCCCUCUACUUGUGUACACCUCUUGUGCAUAGGCAUGUCCACUGUAAGGUCAAAACCGGAACCUUGUUCGAACCAGACUGAGAUCGUGGGCCCCUAAUUUGGUUCAGUUCCAGGAUUUUUCAAACUCUGAACUGCCUUUUCAAUUAAAAAAAAAAGUUCAAGCCCUUCUUUUCAGAAUUAAUUUACUCUUUUCACUUGUUUGAUUUAUUUUAUUAAAUUAAUUGUGUUUAAGUUAAUUUUCUUAAUUUAAUGUAAUAUAAUAUAAUAUGAUAUAAUUUUUUAAAGGACAAAUUAUUUAACUUUUUGCUUUAUUUUAAUAGCCAGAUUUCAUAUGUUACUUGUGUAAUGUAUUGUUUAAUUUAUUGCUUGUGUUUUGUGCGUUUACUCUUUUUUCCAAACUGCCUUCAAGCCAUCUUGAACCAUCUGGUUUUGAACCACCUAUUGAACCAUUUCGAGCGGGUGGUUUGUGCAAACUGUCCCCUGGUCCAGUGCAAGAACUGGAAGCGCUGGUUCCUGAAACGUGAACAUGCUUGCUUGUGCUUGUUUUUGUUGUAAAUUUAUAGAAAACAGAAUUAAAAAAAAAAAAAAAACACUUUUUUCUACUAGAAUUGUAAGACUUGGUCGUGCUGGAAUUUUCACUUCUGACCAUCAUCACAAUUGAAGCAACCUAAAUACAACAAUAUUUUAUGCUCUUCUAUGGUCAGCUAGUUUUCCAUGUUCUAUUGAGAAUUUGUCUUUUUACACUCUACAGAAACACUUGUUAGCAGGUCUUGGUACUUCUUCUAUGUUGUUUAUUCACCUCUUGAAUAGUUAAGAUAGUAAUUUUUAAGUUAUGUUAUUAUUAAUAUGAAUUAUAAUUAUCAUUUUUGUUAUAUUCUUUUUUUUUCUUUUUAUUUAAAUUUUCCUUAGCCAAAUUUCUAUGCCUCAUUCAUUUAAAUUUGUUUUUUCCAUUACUGUGUAGAUGCAAAAUCUUGGGGUGCAACCUUCUAGCCGUACGUAUGAUGGCUUCAUUAGAGCUGUUAUUUCUGGGAGAGGUAUAAGUGAAGGCAUAAAAGUGGUAAAUCUUUUUUUUCAUUGGGUUCUUAUGUCAUUAUUUUUAAUAAUGAUUUCCCCAUUCCACCAAUAACUUUUGCAUUCAUGUUUUACAUGGAUGAAAUAACCUUCUCCACCCAAUGUUUUCACAGUUAGAAAUAAUGCAAGAGAAGAAUUUGAAGCCACACAACUCAACUCUUGCGACCCUUUCAAUUGCUUGCUGUCAAGCCUUAGAACUUGAUUUGGCAGAGAAACUACUCUACCAAAUUUCAUAUUAUCAAGAUCCACAUCCUUAUAAUAGAUUUCUUGAAGCAUGUGAUACUCUGGUGAGUUAAUUUCUUUAAAUCUGGUACUUCAACUAGAUUGGCAUUCCUUGUUACUUGUUAGCCUCUGUUUUUCUCAAGUAAGAAAUUCUACAAGAAAAUAUGACAAGGCAAUUUACACACAUGUUAUAGAGGAGUACUUGUAAUCCACCUAAGUCAAUAGAAAAUGUGAACAUUGAAUUGAAGGGUUGUUGAAUGCUGACUGUAUGGCUACACAAUCUUGCUCUUGAUCUUCAUAUCUCUUUAUCAAUUGUUUGCAUUAUUAAAUUGUUGUGCCAUAUGGAUUUAUAUUAUAAAAUUUAUUGGUCCAUGUAACUUGUAAUUUUCUUCAGGAAUAUUAUUUUCAAAUGAAGUACUUGAAUUGUGUGUUUUCAUAGUCAGCAUAAAAUUUUUGUUCAUUAAUCGUGCAGGAGAAACCAGAGCGUGCCAUUCGGAUGUGGGCUAAAAUGAAGCAACUAAAAAUCAAACCAGAUAUCUGGACAUAUGAGCUGUUAUUUUCAUUAUUUGGUAAUGUGAAUGCUCCAUAUGAAGAUGGUGAUAUGUUGUCACAUGCAGACUCUGCUAAAAGGAUUAAAGCUAUUGAGAUGGAUAUGGCAAAAUAUAGUGUACAACACAGCCAUUUAUCGAUGAAGAACUUGGUAACUCAUAAGUCAUGUAUUUCUUGAUUUGUUCUUAGUAGGUACUGACCUUAAGUAGCUAACUUAUUUAAGUAUCAGCUUUACUGUCAGAUCUGUUUGGCGUGAAGAUUAAUGUUAUGCACUAUAAAAUUAAAAAACUGAUCUUUUUAAAAAAAAAAAUUGUUGAUGAUUAAGUGGAUCCUGCUACAUCUCAUUUGGGAAGCUCUUGGAUGCUGCUUUUGGAGGGACGUGCCACAAUUUAACUAACAACAAAAAGUUAUUACUGAUGGAAUAACAUGUAAAUCAAGCAUGACAUAGUUUAGCAACAGUAUUAGAUGCCUUUAGACUACUGAUGCUUCUAUAGACUAUAGAUAUCUCUAACCUAAUUAAUUGACACAAAAUCUAGUGGAAUAGAAAAUGCAAUUUGUUGGGAAUGCCUGUCGUGACUGGAUGUGGAGGUUAUCCAUAAGCACAGGAGAAAAAGCUAAUUGGGAAGCUUGUUUUCUGUCAUCCUGUCUGGGAUUUUCUUUGUAGAUUAUUUAUAAUUGCAUUGUUUACUUUAACAUUCACCAGACUAUUUGAAAAAUUAAGGUGAUAUUUUGGCUAGUUAUGGAUUAGAACUAUUUUUGAAAUUGAUGCAAAAUUGGUUUCAAACAGAAUUGAAUGAUGAAGAAGGAUCCAUAUGGUCAGCCUCAAAUAGUUCAGGACUAAAAGUUAGUUGUUAUGAAUUAAAACUAUUUGGCCCUUGCAUUGUAAUUUUGUGGACCUUGUACUUUAUUCCAAAGUUCUUGUCUAUACACGCUAUUUUCACUUGCCUUAUGCUCACUUCCCCUAAAUAUAUAUAUAUAUAUAUAUGUUGAAUACAUACUUAUAGGCCUGUACCAAUUUGAGAUCCAAUGAAUACUUGAACAAAAAUAGAACCUAUUGAAUAUCUGAACUUAUAAAAACUAUGAUAAUUAAAUAUAAAUUAGCCACCUCAUUGAUAACUUGUAAAAAAAUUCAGAAAUGGUCUUAUUUAUUGCUGAAUGUACUUUAAUUUUCGCUGAUUAUGCUCUAUUUUUUCAUAAAAUUUACUCAUUUUAUUGAAAAUAAAUUUUAUGAAAAUUUAGAGUAUAGUCAAUAAAAUUUAAUGCACAGUAAGCAAUUAAUUGAAUCGUUUCUGACUUUUUUGACAAGUUAUAGAUGUCAUGGCUAAUUUGUAUUUGAUUGUUAUGAUUUUUACAAGUUCAAGUAUUCAAUAGGUUUUGAUUUUAGUUUAGGCAUUCAAUAUAUUAAUUUCAAAUAUUACAAAAAUGUAAACAUGUAUUUGGCCCUUUUUUUCCAUUGUUGUGGACCUGAUGCAGUUAAGGAAGACUAAAUUUAAGAUUUUUUUUAAUUGUUAAUUGUAAAAUUAUGAUUUUUCAUUCAGAUUUUAUAUUACAAGUAGGAAGCUUAGGUUUCUGUUUGGAUUUAUAUUCCUAAUUAGAUUGAUUUAGUAUUUUUUAUUUUGGCUUUCCUAGUCAUAGCAGCAGGAUUAGUUAUUAGUCUAUAAAUACCUAUGUAAUUUUGGUAUUUUUUUUAUGGAGAGCUCGUUAUGAUUAUUUUUGACAAUUAAGAGUUAAUGAGUAUUUUAAGAAUAUUGUUCCUUUCCCGUUUGAUUGUUGUCUUGGUUCAAGACCUCAAUAUGGUGUUGGUAUUUACCUCUUUUGGUUCUCUUUAGCUGAAAGCUCUUGGAGCAGAAGGGAUGAUAAGAGAGCUUAUGGAGUAUCUACGCAUGGCAGAAAACCUUUUCUACCGCAGCAAUACUUAUUUGGGAACACCUAUCUAUAAUACCGUGUUACAUUCACUUGUUGAGGCUGAGGAAGUGAGUGAUUUUCCUCGUAUCUUAUUUAUAGUUGUCACUAUUUCAUUAGCUGUGGGUACUAACUAUCUGUGGUUGACAUGCAGAGUUACUUGGCGAUUGAAAUAUUCAAAAAUAUGAAAUCGAGUGGUUUCUGCCUAAAUGCUGCAACUUAUACUAUAAUGAUUGAUUGUUGUAGCAUUAUCAAAUGUUACAAAUCUGCAUCUGCUCUAUUCUGCAUGAUGUUGCGUGAUGGGUUUUAUCCGCAGGCAGCAACUUAUACUGCUCUCAUAAAGGUAUUUGUCUAUUUGAAUUCAUCCAGAGGGUCUUGUGCUAUCUGAAUUUAUGACUUACUAAAGAAAAAAAGGAACAAACUUGAGAAUUUUGCUGGGGGAUGUGCAUUUUCUCAGAGGUGAGAAAAUGGAAGUUUAUACCUGUUAGUUACUGGUGUAUGUGCCAUAUAUUAGCUUCUGGUUAGUUGCAGCAAUUCACUGCAAGCUCCUGCAAAUCACAUACUCGGCUUUGGAUUGCGAAAUUUUCUCACUUCUAGGUUUCUUUUCUUUCAGAAUGUGUUGGAUGAUGGAAAUUUUGGUGAAGCCUUCAAUCUUUUGGGUCUAGGGAGCUCAGAAGGGAUUCAGACUGAUGUAUUGUUGUAUAAUACUAUUCUCAAAAGAGCUUGUGACGAGGUACCUCAUCUCCUAAUUCCCUGCAAGCGCGCUCUUGCACACAUCAAAAGCAAAAGUUUUUCUGGAAUUUCUAUGAAUUCAAAAAACUGGAUUUCAAUGUUGUAAAAUCUUAAUCAGAGUGUUGCCUUGUGUGAAAUGGAAUCUAGGGGAGGAUCGAUGUCACUGAGCUUAUUGUCGAGCAGAUGCACCGUGAGAAAAUAAGACCCGACGCAUCGACUUGCCAAUAUGUGUUCUCUACAUAUGUGGGACGUCACUUUUAUAACACAGCCAUGGAAGCAUUGCAAGUUUUGAGCAUGCGGAUGAUUUGUGGAGAGGACCAUGCUUUUGAAGAAAAGAAAGCUGAAUUCGAGGAAGCUUACAUUCUUUCUGAAGAUGAGGAAUCUGAGCUUCGAAUACUUGAAUUUUUAGGAGGGCCUGAUGAGAAUAUAGCUUUUGCUCUCUUGAAUUUAAGAUGGUGUGCCAUUUUGGGGUUCCCAAUUUCUUGGUCACCAAAUGGAACUUCAUGGGCAAGAAGACUUGCCGCUAACUAUGAUUCCCUAAUUUGAUAUUAUUAGCCGCUGAAUAUUUAUUCAGAUCAACUUGGCGCAUUAGCAAUUCCCGGAAUUAUGUUCUUGGUGAGGGUUGCAAUUUUGUCCGAUGAGCAGUGAUACUGCUUAGCUGCUUCAUUGUCAAAUAAUUUUGGAAUCUGUGCAUCGCAAUGUUUACAAUUUUGUUUAUGGUAAAAAAAAAAGAUUUGAUUUUUCAAGGAAGUAUCUUGAUGAGGGGUGGUAAUUUAUAUUUAGUAUAAUUUUAACAAUUAUUUUCCUUCCUUAUUUUCCCCUUAUCCAAACAACCCAUUAGUCUAAAAGAUUUUUCAGAUGUUAUUAUGUGUAAUGAGAAUGUAUUUUACUUGUAAUUAAUUUUAUGAAACUCAAUUAUAAAAGUUCACAGACCGAACAAAUAAUCAUUAUAAAUAAAAUUCUGUAAAAUUUUUCGUACGCUAAAGUUUCUAUUUUAAUUGUUACAACACCAAACCUUAAUGUAAUCAAUACUUCCAAAGGUGGAUUAAUCGUGCGUUCGAUAAUUUCAUAAUUAAAAUUUCAGUUUUAUCAAUUUUUUAAAUCAAAUUUUCAGCUGUGUCAAUUUUAUCGGUACAAGCAUGCUAGCAGUUUUUUUUAUUAAAAGAAAAUUACAGAGAAUACUAAAUGAAAAUGUAAAAAUGAUUAAAAAAAAAGGACUUUGUGCCAAAGAUAAAUCUCAUCACCCAAUUUGCAAUUAUCUAUAACAAUUAAUUCAAAGUCCAUGAGAAAAAAAAAAAGAGUAAUUAGUAUUUCUCUAGCUUCCUGCUAGGAAUCAUAUCACCAUCAACAAAAGGGAGAGAUUUGGUAUCACGAUGAGUAAAAAGGCUAAUGAUAUCACAAUAAUGCGUUGAUGAGUUUUCGAAGCAGCAGAAAAGAAUAUGAUCUAAAUUAGUUAAGUAUUAAAAAUUUAAUGAACGGUUUUGAAAAGUUUCUAUUAAAAAUAUAAUUGACUGAUUUGGAUAUCAACUGCAACUGCAGUAUUCUGUACGGAUAUCAUUAUAAAAACUCUACCUUCCUUAUUUUUUCAACCUAUUAACUCUAUUCUGGAUUGUGAAUCUUAUCGUCCUACACUCACCAUGGGUUUAGAACUUACCAGCUUAUCGAUUUACUAGUUAUCACUAGCCUAACAAAAACUCAACUCCGUACAUGAAGCUCAGUAAUCUGUUAGCAGAAUACUUGCAAACGCAUGAAACUGUCCAAGUUAAGUGAAGGGAUCUGAUGCUAAGCUUAUCGGCUCAAUUGAUUUCGUACCCCAUUUUUUUAAUGUUUCAAAUGUCAGAAAAUAUAAAAAUUUUGGGAAAUAAACAGAACCUAAUAAAUUAAAAUUUAACUCAUUUAAUGAUAUAAUGUUAUUUCGAAUGUUGUAUUAAAAGAAGACAGUGCAAUAAAUAUACAUUCAUUUAGGAUCUAGCCUAAAUUUUAACCCAAAACGAAAUAAUAGUUAUAUAACCCCUUUAAUCUCAAACCAAUAUGUACCCUAAACUUGAAAAUUUUUAUUUUCAUGAAUUAAAUUAAGAGAUUAAAGGAGGAACUAUACUCAUAAUCACCCGUGUAUAAGUAGCUAAAAACGAUUGUUACCAUCUCAAAAGCUACAAACAAUCAACCCAAGAGAUCAAGGUUGGCAAUGAAAGAUGUGCAGCAAGAGAAAAGACAGAACAUCCAGCUUAAAACAGAGAGAGGGAGAGAGAGAGAGAGAGAAAUUUCCAUCACAGUGGAGACCUGUAGAUUAUUAAGUCUUAGAUAUCAGCAAUACCAGAAUCCCUCGAAGGUGAAGCACAAAAGAAAAGAAAAAAAGAAAAGGAAGAGAUCUUAAGUUACAAAAAGAAUGUAUGUCAAUAAAAAAGCACGACUCAUUAGAAUGCCCCACUACAAACACAUUCACCUGAUCUAAACAAGUUUGCUAAUUCCAUAAAGCUAAGAAAUUCACCAUGCUCGUCUCAUUACUUUCCUUUUCCUUUUAUCCCUCAUCCUUUGAUUGUUGAUAGAAAGGAAAUAUUAGAGGAAAACAAAUUUAUGAUUUCUUCAUGAGAUACCCCAAAAUUAUACCAAGCAAGCCCACAAAGGCGACAAAAAUAAAUGAGACACCGGCACGGCUUUUGCUGCCUUCAUGUUUCAGGAGUUCCUGCGAUCAUUAAUCUCAUAAAGUAAGCAAUCCAUUAAUCAAAUACCAUAACACAAGGCAGGCUUAUCAAAUAUGGGGAACAUGCAUAAGCAAAGCUACAAAGAAUGCAGAAUUGUUUAAAAGAUGGACCAUAAGCACCAUGGAAGAAAAGUAAUCCAACAACUACACUAGAGGUUUUUUCCUAUGUCAAUGUAGAACAUAAAAACAACAGUGAGCACAGAUUGUCAUUAUCAGUGUGCUGAUAUAUACUCAAACACAUGAUAUUUCUCUCUCUACAAAAACAUAAAUAAAUAAGAAUCCACAUAAAUGAAGUCAUGGACUAAUGGCUCACCAAUUCUUGACGAAGCUUGGUAUUUUGUUGAAUAGCACUAUUUUUUUCUUCAGUCAGCUUUGAAAUAAGGGCUUUUGUCUGCAAUAAUAAUGCCAAGGUUUAUCAAUAGUAAUUAAAUCACAUAUAUAACCACAACAAAUAAUUCAUAAAAGAAAAUUAAAAAAAUUGAAAAUGAGAAACCAAUUAUAACACAACACAAGUCAAAUUACAAUAACAGUGAGAAAUAAAGAGAUGGGAGUAGAGAGAAAGAGUUUAAAAAAUUAAUAAAAAGAGAGGCCUACAUAUAAGUUCAUGAUUGUGCAAAAAUCGAGCUUUAGAAUACAGAGUUGCCGAUUUCAAUUUUGACUUCCUAUAGAUUUAUUAGAGGUUUCUAAUUCAUUGAAUGGAAAAAAUGAAAUUAGUAAAGUAGCAAUGCAUCAGUGAAAAAGGAAAUAGAUGUCUAGAUUCCUAUAAACAAGCCAUCAGAAUAUGCCAAUAAAGGGUGAAGAUAGGGCUGGAGAUGUGCAACAAUAAAUUUAGUAUAUUUUAUCCCUUUUGGGAUUCUACAAAGAGGAAAUAAUUAUGAUAUAUAUGUGCGCGUGCGCGAAAGAGAGAGAGAGAGUGUAUAUAAUGUCUGAAGAGCACUAAGUUUAAAUUUACAGCAAGAAAAUGCAUUAGCAUAUAUGGACAACAAUAUCAUAAUAGAGCAUCACAUUUACGGCUAUGGUAUAUCAUAUAUGCACUGUGUUAAUUCAAUUGUUCCUGUCAAGGACCCAUUAUUAACCUUAACACUUUGCCCAACCCCCAUUUUGUACCAAAGUUAGUAGUCAAUUCUCAUAAGGUCCCCCAUUUUGGAAGGCAUCAAGAAUUCAUGUUCAACAGUUUCAGCGAUUAUUUCACAUCUCCAUAACACAAAAUACCAUGAGUGUGACAAUAUCCAGAUGUACUGCCUUCACCUUCCUUCUUAUUUUGUUUAUUUUACUUUUAAACCACAGAAUCACAUGACCAAGUGGGAUCAACCCAUGAGUUUAAGAUCCAUCUGAUCCUCAAGGACACCAGAAAUGGAUCUGAUUCUAAGCCAUUGGCAUACUUUUCUCGUCCAUACAUCACCUUUGUGGCAAUUACCAGAUGCCACUGCCAAACCCCAAUAGUAGGGAUAGACAAGGUUCAAGAACCGUCAGUUCCAAUUCUGAACCAAACCACCAUGGGACAGUACGGAGGACGGUUCCUGAACCGCUGAUUCCAGUUCAAGCCCUGGUUUGGAAAAGUUCAGAGGCUAGGAAUAAGGCAGUUCAAGAUUGCUCAUAGGGCAGUUUGGACUUAGGAAAAAAAUUGAUAUGGAAUUCAGUUACCUUUGUAAAAAUAUAUUAUUUUUUCUUGUAAUAUUUUAAAUAAAAUAAAAUAAGAAAGCAAGAAUUAAUGUCUUCUUAAGAAAAUUUAAUAAGAAAGGGUUUGGACUUAGCUAAAAAAGCAUAUAGAAAUAAAAGAGAAGAAAUCAGUGUUCUUAAAAAAAAGAGAAAAAAAAAGAGGUUACUGGAAUUUUGGUGAGGGUAUAAAAUAAUAAGAGUAGUUGAGAGAAAAAAGAAAAUUUUAAUGAGUGCAUAAAAUAGUAAAGUAGGGAAAUUGAAAGAAUAUUGGGAACUAAAUAGAGUGUAGAGAAUUUCAGAUUUUUUAAAAAAGAACUAAGAUUCAGGUGGGGUAUCUAUAGAGUUUUUGUAUAUUUUUCAUUCCUAGUUUAUCCCUAAAAACUAGCUGCUUCAGUCUAGUUCAGCACUGCCAAUUCAAUCUGGUUUGGAACCACUGGUUCACAUUCCUACAAAAUACAAACCCGAACCAAACAUCAAGAGGACAAUUCCCAUCUGGUUGGAAACCGAUUAUGGUUUGGACCAGUUCCAAGACCAUGACCACCCCUAACCAUUAGAGUGUCAAAAUCAUCUUCUGGAACUUUCUGCCUUCCAGUCUAAGUUUUCAUAACCUAUGACUGAGGCUCUUAACACCUAAGACAUUCAAGUAACUAUCACUUUACACCAUGUGUCCAAUUAUUCCCUACAUCCUCAAACAAGCAAACCCACAUGUCCAUUUCCUUUAUGUCACAACUCACAACUUACUUUGAAUAAUGGCAAUUAGCCUCAAGUUCAUGUCUAGUCCUCUGUCAAUCAAGCCACAUCCAACAGAUGCAAUUGCUUAUUUAGAUCAGUAAACCCAUGUCUCGUACAUUUAACAAUAACUCAAGACAGAAGUUUACCAUCACCAAAAAUUAGUAGCCUAGAGGUCAAACAAGCUACUUUAAGCCUGAAAAUAGCACUAUUAGAAUCUGGAUAGGUAGAAUAUGCAAUCAAGCUCAACAUGUGCUCGCUCCUCACCAAAAAUUGUUUUUUUUAACACAGUUCAACAAGUCUUAUAGUAGUUGGUGGAAACCUCAGCUAAAUGGCAAGGAGAAAAUUUGCUACAGAACACAACAAAUUAUCAGAGAGAAGGGUGCCUGCUAGUGUUACAGUUACUGUGGAUUGUGGUAUGUCCGGUCUUUCUCAACAUUUUUGAGGCAGAGGGUGAUAGAUGCUGACAAACCAAAUACCAGAUUCAGAACUUGUUUAAUGACUUCCAUAAAAAAUCUACUGCUUUCUUCAUACAAAGACAGCUUAUUUUCUUUUCUCAUAGGCCACUUUCUUUUUCAAAAAUGUAGUUUAUUUAUCAACUUCCUAAUGUACCCGUGUUUAACAAGUAUUGAAAAAGUAAAAUUUAUUGGUUCCAAGAAUAAUUUAGUAAUGGUGCAAUACAAGUGGAGGGCAUAAGGAAACAUGAUGUAAAAUUUACUGCUUCAACUAUAUUAAUUAUAUUUCUUAAUCCUAUGUGAAAAAACAAAUAGGUCUCUUGGAAAAGUAAAAUUUAUUGGUUCCAAGAAUAAUUUAGUAAUGGUGCAAUACAAGCGGAGGGCAUAAGGGAACACAACAGAAAAUUUAUUGCUUUAAUCAUAUUAACUAUAUUUUCUUCAUCCGUGUGCAAAAAACAAAUAGGAUUCUCUUUAUGGAAUGGAGAGAGUAUCUAAAAAGAAAUUGUUUAGGAGAAAACACACCAGGAUCUCAUUUUUAAUCUUAGAGAAGACUCCGAAAAAUGAACAAAGAUGGUCAAAAACUCAAACCUCAUUUAGAGAAACUCACAUUAGUGUUUUCAUUUAACAAUAUCCAAAGUUUUUUCACUGGCCAGUCAAGGAAACUGACAAACAUGAUACACCAAUAAUUUCUGGAAACUAAAGUAAACUACUAUCGUAUACCCUUGUGUAAGAAUUAGCUUCAGAAUUUAAAAUAACGAGCAAUGCAUUUCAUGCCAUGAGUUCAACAAAAUGAUCUUGUACAUGUAUACUGUCCAGUCCAUCACUUAAACUUUGCCCAGUGCUUCGUCUGGUCCAUGGAACUAUGCAUGGCUAUUUCUUAUUAUUGACAAAGAAAGAAAAAAGAAUAACUGAAGCAGAUAUCCGCGCAGUAUAAUGUAUCAGAAUUGCUAUCCACCACAGCAUGCAACAUUGACCAUGCAAAUAAAUGUGAAUUUUACCUCUGACGAUUUUUCUUGAGGUUCAAACCGCUCAACAAAUGCUUUUGAAGCCUGCAUGCACCAAAAAAAGGCAUAUAAAAGAUAAAACAACUUGAGGCUUGAAAGGAUAACUACGGUAAAAAUACUAUUAACAACAAGGGUCACACCAAGUACUCACACUAGAAAACUCAGCACCGUUUGUGUUUCCAUUAUCUGACACAGAACCUCUUGGUGAAGACCCUUCCUCAGAACCUUCUGGAACAGGAGAAGGGGGUUGAGGUGGAGAAACAUAAAGCACUCUCAAUUUGCACUCUUCAACCACAUGCCCCGCCUCCUUAUUGAACUAGACAAGACAAAUACCAAUAAAUACUAAGCUCCAAAUCCAGUACCUUCAAAGUUGACAUGCAAAAUAAAAUUGAAUGAAAUUACCAUUUCAGCAUUGAUAUCCUUUACGGUUGCGCCAUCAUGUGUUCUCACACUCUGAAGCAAAAACUUGUCUUUGCAUUGCAUAUCAGCAGGAAGCUCCUUUUGCGCUUGCAUUGUAACUGAUAGAAUCCCCAAGUUUAAAAAUUCAUAACUACCAUUUACAUCAUAAGUCAUAAAUACAAAGUAAAAACACAAAAUCCACCAGACGGGCACCUAUAACAUCACAUGUGGAACGAGGCAACACAAUCCCAGCAUUUGGUCGAACACAAUACUUCUUUGGAUUUGUCGUUUUGACCUAAACAUCAAACAAUAAUCAGCGACUUAAAUGCACCGAACAAGCAAACAAAAUCCAAAUCUGCAUUCUCAUUUUAACAGAAACAGACUACAAAUUUCCCAUAUGAAUUUCCCUUUUUUUUAUGUAGCGUUCAUGAGUUAUGCUCAUGACAAGAGAUUUGUAUUUAGUAUUUGUUAUUUAUCUCAGUUCCUCUAUAAAAAUGGAAAAUUUGACAUUGAAAAUACUUAAUCCCCUCUUCCCAAGAAUGAAAAGGAAAGUUACCUCAGCCCAAGAAGAUAAAUACUUUAGAUCCAAAGAAAGAAAACGAAAACAAAACAAUUACAGAAAGGAAAUACCUUGAAAGCAACAUAACUAUCAGUUUUGUUGGACAAUUGAAGAGAACAAGAGAUCUGCUUCUUCAAUUCAACUAAUCAGAAAAAAGAAAAGAGUUAGAAUAAAAGAAAUCAUGAAAAAGAAAACAGAUCCAUUGACCUUACAUGGAAAUUUGAGCUCUAGAGGCUCGAUGCUGAGAAUAUCUCCCGUGCUCAUCUCAAAAAAUAUGGGAAAAUUCAAAAACAAAAAGGAAAAAAACAAAAUAAAAGCAGUUCUUUGAAAGGAGAUUUGGAGAAGAUCCGGAAAAAUAUGUAUUAUGAGAGUGUGUGGAAUCUGUUGUUGAAAAGUGUAUUCACAGAAGACGAUAGCUGGACGGAUCAAGGGAGAGAGUUUCGAAUAUAUAUAUAUAUAUAUACACAUAAACUUGAAAAAUAAUUAUUAUACAUGUAAAUAAAAUACUUUUUAUAAUUUUUUUUAAAAAACAUAUUUAAUAUAUUUUUUAUGAUUACAGUCUAAUUUUUAAUAUUAAUGAAAAAGAAUAAUUUUUUUUUAAUUUUGUUAUAAUUAGUAAAAAAUUCUUACAUGUUCACUAUCAAUUAUUAAAAAAUUUAAAUUUUAUAUUAAUAUAUAAGUCUCAUCAUAUUUUUAAAAAAAAUUAAUUAGUUAAAUAUUUUAAUUAUUUUAAUUAAAAACUUCAUAAAUCCUGUAUAAUUCAUAAUUUGACACUUGUUAAAUCUCUGGACAAAUUGCUUGUCUCUGUAUUCAUGACUCAUGAUAUUGUAGUUGAAUACAAUUAUACUAAAAUUGAGAGAACAUGUUUUAUCGUUUAAAACUUAAAAAAUUAAGAUAAAACCAUAAAGAAAAUUAUGCUUUUAAAGGAGCAAAUAAAUAAAUAAAAACUCGUAUAAAUUGCUAAAAGGCCUAAAAACAAACAAAUCAACGAGAAAANNNNNNNNNNNNNNNNNNNNNNNNAAAGCAAGCUCACUCAAAAGAUAAAUCCAACUAAAAUUAAAUAUUGAAAACCAAAAUCAACACACAUCAACCCAAAUCAACAAUCAAUACGCACUCCGACAGAAAAAUCACUGCUUGCAAUAUCGAUCCACCGUCAAUCCACAGCAAAUCACGUCGAAAACAGACCACCGACAGCAUCACAGAAGGCCAAAAGGCACACGGAAAAAUAAGAAAACAAACAUGCAAACACAAAUAUCGACAGCCAUCACUGGAGAAAUCUUCCACCGAUAGAACUAUGAGAAACAGUAACCAACGACAGAAGCCACCUACCAAUAGCCAACAAAAAGGCAACGGGAAAAAUCAUGCAACCCAAAAAAACACUUGGCGAGAAAGAAGCAAACACACAGGCCAACCGCUAGGAAGAAGAGGCAGCACAGCUCACACGGGACCGUUGGUCACUGGACGUGGCAGUGCAAUCCCGAGAUGCCGAUGUCGCCUAAUAAAAAAAACUGAGCAACCAACACGAAAGCUUAAAUCCAAAACUACAAAGGUGAUACCUUACUGAUGACUGCUUCAACUUCUCCGAAUCGACAUCUCUCUCUUAAUGUUUCCUGACUCACUGUAAUGCCAAAAAGAAAUUUAUUUUUUAAAUAUUUUACUUUUUAUUUUUUAAAACUAAAUAUAAUCAUUAUUUAUGAGUUUAAUAUAAAAUACUAUAAUUACUAGCCUAAUAAUUUCUAAUUUACGGAUCAUACUCACUUUAAAUAAUUAUAUGUUUUGAGAAAGCGAUAUAAAAAAUAAUUUUUUUCUUUUUUUUUAAAUAAAAAUUUUAGAGACCGAUUAAAUAAUUAGUAAAAUAUAUUUGUCUCUAGUAAUGAGAUUCUUUUAAAAUUAGUGGUAUAGACUUUUUCUCGACACUUGCUUGGUCAGUCUUAUUUUCGACUCACGUGCUGUUUUUUAAUAGAAUUUUCAAAAUUAAAUAUUUAUUAAGAGAAAUUAUUUACGAACAGAAAAAGAUAUUAAUCUUAGUUUUGAAGAAUUAUGAUGGCUCGGUUUAAUAUGAAUUUGAUUUGAUUAAAUUUUUUUUUAAAUAUGGUUUGAUUAAUAAAAGAAUGUUUAAUUAAAAAGAACUAUAAAAAAUUUUUAUUAAGGCUUGAGUAGCUUAAAAAACUAAGUAUAAUAAAAAAUAAUGAUUUUUGCAUCUCAAAAAUCAUUUACAUUUUUUUUAUUGCAUUGGUUUAAAUUAUAUUUUUUAAAAAAAAAAUAAUUUAUUUAUUAAUUCAUUAAUAUUUUCUAUUUUUAUAUAUAUUAAAAUUAAAUUUAUUAGUUGUAUGAAUUAUUUAAUUUUUAAUUUAUUAAUAUAAAUUUAGAGUAGAAUAUUAAAAAGUAAAAUAAAAAUAUUACUUUAAUUAUAUUAAAUAUUUUUUCAAUUUAUCUGAAAGCAUAAAUACGAAAAGUGUUAAUUGAAAAUAUUGGUUAAGUUUUAGAAAAUAAAAUCUUUUGGCUAUUCUUUAAAUAAAGCUAAUUGAGACAUUAUUGCUGGAACUAGUUGUAUAAUUGAUUUUGUACUUUAGAUAUCUUAACAAUUAUAAUACUGAUAAGGGGAGUGCAUAGAAGUUAGCAUUCGAUUCAAAUUAAAUUAAAUUAAAUUAAAUAAAUUAAAUAUUAAAAUUUUAAUAUUUAUAAAAGUUAAAUUAAUUUUAAUUAAAAACUGAAUUGAAUUGAAUCAAUUUGAUUUAAUUUAAUUUAAUUUAAUUUGAUUUGAUUUAAUCGAUUUAAAUUUUUAAUAAUUUUUUUUAUUUUUUAUAUUUAAUUUUUAAUAUUUUAAAAUUUAAUUAAAAUAUUUUAAUUUUAAUAUGAUAUAAUUUAUAUAUUAUUAAAAAUAAUAUACUAUUAUCACUAAUCAAUUCAAUUUAAUUUUUUUGAUUUUUUUCUGAUUAAAAUCAAAUCGAAUUAAAAUAAUUAAAAUUUUUAAAAUUAAAAAUUGAAUCGAAAUAAAUACAAAACUAAAUCAAAUUUUCAAAUUAAUAUUUUUAAUGAUGUUUGUAAAUAGUAUUUAGUUUUCCUACUAUUUUAAGUUAUUAUUUCAUAAAUUUUUAUUUUUAAUUAUAAUAAGGAAAAAUUAAUUAAAUAAAAUUCAAUUACAAACAGCAUUAAAAAUAUUAAAUUCACAUAAAAUUAAAAUUUUCAUUUUCAAUUAAAUUUAAUUCUCAUUGUCAUUGAAAUUUCAUCUUUUUAUCCAUUUCAUUAUUUUUCAAUCUCACUUUUAUUGGAUGCAAAUAAAUCAAAAUAGUUAUUAGUUAUUAAAAUUUUGAUUUAACAAGACUUUAAUUUGGUUCUUUAAAUUUGAGACUAAUUUAAAGACUUAUUUACUUAAGAGAUAAAUUUUUAGACUUAUUAUUUAAUUUUUUAACAUAUUAUUUUUAAAUUAAAAUUUUUUAAAUUAUAAAUUAAUUAAUUUAUUUAUAAAUUACUCAAAAUUUAAUUCUGUAAAACUUUUAUUUAUUAAUAAAUAAAUAAAAUAUAAAAUUAUUAAUAUUCAACUUAAAUUUAAAAAUGAGUCGACAUAAGUUAACUUGAACUCCAAAAAAUUUUAACCAACCAAAUAUGAUUUUUGAAACUUCAACUCAAUCACUUUAUAUUUUAUAUAUUAAUUAUAGCAUAUAAAUAAAUAUAUUAAAAUUAUAAUAUCAUACAUUAUCUAAAGAAUAAUACAUUAAUAAAAAAAUAGAAUAAUAAUUCUCGUAAUUAAUUUAUUAAUUCUAUAAAUAAUAAAUAGAAUUAUUAAUUAUUUUAUUUAUUAAUAUAGAAUAAAAGCCAUGGAAAUUAAAAAUGAGAGUAACCAUUUGAUCUUUUCGCAUGAAAAUGGAUUUUUUUUAAAAAGAGUACAUUUUCGUUUUUCAAAACUUUUUUUUUAUAAAAAUCAAUUUAUUUUCAUGAAAAUAUCGUUUUUAUAUUAGAAAUAUUGAUUUACUCGUGGAAUGAAAUUGCUCCGCCAAUAGCUCUUUAGAUUGUUAAACAUUUAAAAAAUUCAAAAAUUUUGCACAUAUUAAUUUAAACUAUUUUUUUUAAAAAAGAAAAAAGAAACAGAAGCAUUCUUUUUUUUCAUUCUCUUAAAUUUGACCAUAUUCAUCUCCUUGACUUUUUUUAUUUUAAAUAGCUAUAGUAGAUGUGAAUAAUAAUUAAACUUCUAAAAAUCUUUAAAAAGAGAUAAAUAUGAAUUUUUUUAGUUAUUUUUUAUAUCCACCACCUGUGAAUUCAAGCUCAUUUUUUUAAUUUUAAUUAUUUAAAAAAAAUACAAUCCAUUGACAGUCCUAAAUUACAAAAAACAAAAAAAUUGAAAAUUUUUUAUUCUUAUUUUAUUUAAAAUGUAUUAAAUUUCAAUAAUCAAUUAAAUGUCAUCCUAUUUAUAUCUCUCCUUACCAGACAAAAAAAUAAAUUUUUCAGGCAAAUUAAAUUUAGCCUUUUACUACUAUAAUACUAAAUUAUAAUAAAUAUUUGUAACCACCAUAUCAUUUUUAUAGAUAUAAAUAUAAAUAAAUAAGUUCAAAUAAUGAAUAUAAUAAUCUUCAAACCCAAUUUGCUUUACUUGGGAGAAAAAUUUACUUAAAUUGAAUCUAUAUAGAGCCGUAAUGUAAAAUGACAGUGAGAUUCACAUGAAAUUUUAUAAAUUUAUAAUAUGAUUGUAUGUAAAUCUGAUUUAAAUAAAAAUUACCUCAGAAAAUGUAAUAACCCAGCGAGUGAAAAAGUAAACAACUAAUCCUAAAUCAAGUAGAAUUAAUGUUGAAUGCAAUUAAAUGUCAAGAGUUAAACUAUUCUCAAGUCGAAUUACACUUCAUAAUUAAUCUCCAAUAAAAACAUAUGUUGAAUAAUUAUUAAAACAAUUAAACAAAUCACAAUUCAUGAUCUAUCUUGUUUAGAAAAUUCUUAUUUAGAUUCGAUUUAUGAUAGAACUAAAAUAGACGUAUAUGGAUUUUAGUUAUUUCAUGUGAAUCCUGCUUAUAGUUACUGUGUCUUGAGCUUCUAAAAAGAAAAUCAAAUGAACACCACUUUCAAUCAGCAGCCUCAACCAGGAUGAUCCAAGGCUGCAAAACUUCAGUUUUCACGACGCUACACCUGAAUAAACACACAGGAGCAAGCCACCCCAUUGCUCCAUCUACAAUAAUAGGCUUAGUUGCUUCUUUUAUUAUGUCAUUAAAUUCUCAGUGCUUCUACAUGUUGUGCAAGUUCUUUCAACACCUAUGCAAGGAAAAUAAUGAUUAGGCUAAUUAACAAAUACUUUCUGUUUUAACCAUGAACGUUUUUAGACUCACCAUCUUGGUUUCCUCAAUAGCUGUUUCCAAUGAUUUGAGCUUCUGGUAUGUGAAGAUCACAAGAAUCAGAGGUUUAAAGGGGAACAGCCAACAAGUGAUGCGUGAACGUCACUUACAAGGUUGGUGUUUGCAAGUGAUGCUUCCAAUGCCUGGAUUUUCUGAGCCUGAAGCUUCUCAAUUAAUUUGGUUUCCCUAAAUUCUAAAUCUUCUCGCGCUGUGGAGGUUGCAUUUGCACCUUUACUUUGGCCACUGUCCUACAAUGUUCAGCAGGUAAGAGACAUUAGUGAAGCACAAAAUAGAAGAGAAUGCUUUGCAUGAACAGCAAUCUUUCAAUCAAUUCUAGUUCAAGUGCAAGUAAAAGAUCUAUAAAGGUAAUUGGUUUGGGACUUGUAGUCCUCGAGGCAUUAGCUGGGGGCACAAAUCAUAAAUUAGCAGGGCUUGGAAAGGUGGACAACAUGGCUAAUGGGAAAUAAACCUAUCAAUAAUGUGCAGGAAAAAGAGAUAAAGCAUCAUAUUGUUUACCGGUGUCUCCUCUGAAGCCACACCAUUAUUUUCCCCAGUAUUAGAUACUUCUUCAGUAGCAGAAACUGCCUGGAAGAAAUAAAGAUAUAAUAUGUCUUUCAGCCGCAUGGAAGUAAAAUUGAAAACUAAAAAGCAAAAUAAAGACAUUGAAAAAAAAACACCUGAAGAAUUUCUUGUAUCUCUGGGUUGUUCCAGGGUCCUUUAUCGCUAAAUAAGCAACCUCCAUAAUCAGAACAUGUACAGUUCCCUCCCAGAAAACCUGGCAAAUUACUGUGAAAUCAAAGAGCAAAAACUUAGUGGCUGCAACAUAUAAAUGAAGCUCUAUAAAGAUUUAUUAUCCGAAGCAUUAACAUGCAUGUCAGAGUAUUGUGAUAGUACAUAUGCACAUAGAUAUGCAUAGGCAUGCCACCUUGCAUCUAUAGCUUCAAGCAGGUUAUUUUGGUAGUUGUAUCCCAGCACCUGAAAUUGAGAAUGCACGCUUUUAAAACAGCACUAGUGAUACAUUUUAAGACGCAUAUAACAAGCACAGCAUUUAAAGCUAUUGUUUAUAUGUGAAAAUAGUUACGAGCAGAUAAAUCCUUACAUGAAUCUUUGCUAAUGUACGUGCAUCAAGAAAAGCCCUUACUGCUUUCCAUAGCAUCCUGAACCCAGAUCCAGCAUUGACUAUAAAGAGCUGAUUUAGAGUCUGAAAAUUUCAAUCGCCAAAUAUCAUUCUUUGAUAUGUGAUGCAAUGAAGCAUGUACUGAUCUCUAACUCUACAGAAAAUAGCACUAAUAGUUGUUCAUGUAUCUUUAAAAUGACACUUUAAUACCUCUGGAUAGUAGUUGCUGUCAAUCUUCUGAAUUUCCAUAAAGAGGCAUCUCGCAGGCUUUGAGAAAUUGGACAUUCCCUAUGCAAAAUCAAGGUUAAUUCAUGCACCAAAAAAGACAAUUUUAACUGGCUCAAGUAGACCAUACAUUAUAUGAACCUCACCACUCCAUUCACAUCUAAAAUACUUGUCAUGGAAGCAAUAUGCCUCCUAGCUGCAAUUGAACAGGCAGGGAACCUCACAUUCAAUGUUUUCUCUUGUUCAGAUACAUGAUACUUGACAAAUUUUUCAAUGCUAGUCACUUGGAAUAGUCUAUUAAGGUCUACAAUCCCAAUCCUUUCAAUGUAUAUUGGCCUUCCACAUCUAUCAACCCCAUGAUAUCCAUGAGGAUAGCAUUUCUUUACUUCUGCAUAUUCCUCAAAAUUAAAGUCCUGCACUAAGUUCCAGAGAUAUUAAUCCUCCAAGAGUUUGGUCAAAUUCAAUAGGAGACAACAAAAUGGGAUACUAAGCCUAGUUUGGAGCUUGGAACCACCUUUGGAAUUGCAUCAACCUUAUAGCAUUCUCUCCACUUGAGAUAAUUUACCAACAUUUCUUUGGCUUUUGAAAGAUCAAAGUCCCUCAUUCGCAGAAAUCUAUGAUCACAGAAAUUUAAUCACCAUCUUCUCCCGCAGCAACCAAUCAAUAUCAGGUAGUCUAAUAAAGAAUACACUUACCUUAAAAGAGUGUGAUAAUCAUUGUGCUUCCCUAGUAAGAUGCCCUCAACAAACAGCAAUUCACGGAAAGAUUCAACGAGACGUUCAUCUUUUGGAUCAUGAGCUCCUUCCAGGACUUUUUGAAAGCUUUGGCUCCUUCCACGUUUCUUCAGCGAGUCCCGAAACUUGAAUGGAUAAGUUAACAUUGAUUUGAUGUUAGAUGAUGAAGAAGCCUUGUCUUCUCCUGCAGAGGGAAGAAGCCAAUGGGAUCCAAUUGGUGGAUGAAUGGACUUGGUCCUUUCAGCUGCCGACUGAGUUUUCAUGGGCACUGGAGAUUCCUCACCUUCUCCACCUCUUGAUAUGACUAUUUCCCGGUAAGUAUCCUUCGAUUUAAACAUAUUCACUCGGCUAAACUCAAUAAUUUCCCGAGAAAAGCCCCUUAAUUUCAGGAAUCUGAUUCACGUAGCUUAUGAAACGUAUAUGAAAGUGUUCCAAAUUUCAUGGUCGACUUCUCGUCAACUACAAAUUCAAUUGAUAUAAAUCAUCAACAAGAGGAAGAAAAGAGAAAGAACUGCAUACCCACAAGUUCUACAAAAUUAGCAUUUAGAAUUUUGCCAAAAAAGUAAAGAACAGUAUGAAGGAAUUCAACCCAAUUGAAUUUAGAUAAUUAUGAACAGAAACGAGAACGACCCAUAUGAGGAAAACGAAUUUUCUUGAAGGGGAAAGAGACAGGAAAUUAAUCUGGGCUGAAUCCAAAUUGGAUGGAGUUGUUGGAAAGCUGAAGGAAACAUGGUGAGAGAUCUAGCUAGAACAUAUGAAUGAAAAUUUGGGAGAAUAUUGAAGGCAUCGAAUGUAAUGCUUUGCCCUCCAGAACUGGGAAUGGGUUCCCAGCUUUUCAUUUGGAAUAUAUUGAUUGUGAAGGAAACUCCAAAGGGCUAAGGCAAGCAACCGUUAUAGUUUGUAGAAUCAAUGGAGGAAAAUGAUGAGAAACGGCGCCAAAAUCCACUUCUGGCAUAUACAAGUUUUCAAAACUGAAUCCUUGUAUUUGUAAAUUUAAUAUUAGAUAAUUCAAUUUCAUUGUCACUCGUUUGUAUUUUUUAUUUUUAUUUUUUGCUAGAUAUAUAAUAUGUCACAAACUUUUAUAAAAAAAUCAAUUGCACUCUUACUUUUUCAUUGUUAAUUUCUAACAUUUAUUUUUUAUCCAUACAUAGAUAGGACUUGCAUGAUUUUUAAAUUUUCAGAUAUUAAAUAGUAUAUUUUAUAAAAUUUAUAAAUUAAUGGUUAUAUUUUUAUAAACAAAAUUAUUUAAAAAUAUUUAUUUAUAGACUUGAGUAUAAGACAUAAAAUUUAGAGAACACAUUAGAUAUGUGCUCUUUACUCGUAUAAAUAUGAGAUGAAUUUUUUUAUGAUUUAAGAUAAAAACUCAUAUUUAUAUAAAAGUAUUAAAAUUUAAUAUUUUAAAUAUACAUAAUACGCUAUAUAUUACUUAGAUUAUUGUUAAAAAACCAAAGCUCUCUUUAUAUAUUCUUCUAUGAGUGAGUUUUUUCCUCUUUUCUUCUUGAAUUUUAGGAGCUCAAUCUCCUUUUUGUUUAAUUUUUUUAGGCUAGGUCAAUAUUUCAAUAAAAGUUUUGUUGAGUACCUGUGUUUGCUCUGUAUGUUAUUCUUGGCUUGUGUUGUUUCAAAAUCUGUUCAAAGUUUAAAUUUAGACUCUUUCUUUUGCCAAAAUUUGGUGAGAUGCAACUCUUCUCAAACCUUGCAAGGAUCAAAAUAUUUUAGAAGGUUCGAAUACGACACUAGGGAGGCUCUCACCUCCCCCUCUUGGCCUAUUCAGGCAGAUCUUUAGCUUCUCUCUAUAUCAAGACCCUAUAUAUAGUACUCUAGUAUUUGGUAAAAUAGGAAUUUAUGGUUAGAGAGGUAGUCGAAACUCAAGAUAAUACUACUAAAUAGAAUUUAUUUUCUCCUACCGCAUUAAAGUGCUAGUGAUACUUAUAUUAUGUUAGAAUUAAUAAGUUGGGUUUUGGUUAGAUGGUAUGAUUUUUUCUUUUUUUAUUUAAAAAAAAAAAAAAGAACACCCUAAAAAAAGAAAAUGCAAAUACCGUAUGAACGAUCUUGAGACUCAGUUACACUCUAUUUAUCUGACAGAUCAACCAUCAUAAAUACAAUAUCAUUAAUGAAUUAUGAAAAUAAUUUAUAAAUAUAAUAUAUUUAUUAUACGAAUUACAAUGAUAAAUAAAAAAAUAAUAAAUGAAUUGACAUAAUUUUAAUAUAAAUAUAAAUAAAUGUAAUUUCAAUUUUUUUUAUCGUUAUUUAUGAAUCAUGUAUUUUGAUAUAAAUAUAAAUAAGUAUAAUCUUUUUCUUUAUUGUAUUUAUGGAUCAUGUCUAAAAUUAUCACUGAACUUUGAUGAGAUAGUAGCUUAUUGUAAUUAGUUUCCAUCUAUUUUUUUACAUAAGUAACCUUUUCUUUAUCUGGUUUUCUUAAGUUGGAUAAUUCAUCACACUUAAUCUUAUGUGAUUAAAAAAAAUUAUUAAUUUCAGUUGGUUUAUUCUCUAAAAAAUAAUUGAAAAAAAGUAUUAAAUAUUUAGUCAGAUUUUUUACUUAAAAGAAAAGUUAAAAAUAAAUUUCAAAAAGGAAGUCUGUGUUAUUUUAACUAGUUAAUUUUCAAAAUUGAAUUGAUAAUAUCUAAUAUAGUUUAAUUCAGUGGGUAAAUGAAUAUUACCCGCUGAUAUCCUCAUUUCUUUAAUUUCUUAUUAAAAAAAUGAAUAAUAUAUUAUAUCAUUCACCUAUAAUUUUUAUUCAUUUUAUUUUUUUUAUACAUAUUAAUAAAUAUAAUUUUUUUUAAUUUUUUAAUUAUAUUAAAUAGGAAAUAAAUAUUAUUGCCUUCUUAUCAAAAAAAUAUCAAUGAAGACUAAUCGGUUUAAACUUGGGGAGGUGGGUACUAUGAUCCACUUCAUGGGCUGUCCAUUUGCAAAAAUCUCAAACCUAAAGGAAAGACAUUAAAACAAAUAGAAAUAAAUGAAAAAUUACCUUUUUUUUUUUUAAUUAAACACUUUUUAUUAAUAAAAUUCAGAAAAUUAAAUUUAUUUUAAAAUGUCAAAUUUACACCUGCUCUUUAUAGCUUCAUUUUUUGCCUUAAUGCAAGUAUUUCACACAGGUCAAACCCACCUUGGAUUUCAACUUUCAUAUCAGAUGUCAACUCUGGCGCACGUUAGCCCUGGUUUAAGCUUUCCCACAAGGAUGCGCAUUUCCUCCUGGCAAACCCAACCCUCCCCUUCUCCAAAUCAUAUAGAAUCUCAAACCCCUGCUGCUGGUAGUUCCCCAGUAUCGCCCCGGGCCCACCUCUCAGCUCAUCCUCAUCUCCUCCGUUCAUUAUCAGCAUACACCCAACUUUCCUCUUCAUACUUGCUUCAUCUCCACCGUCCAAAAAUUCAUAAAGGUAAUUUUCCCUAGGCAGCACUAUACUAGAUUCGUUCCCCACAAAAUGUAAGACCAAACUAGGGACGUACGCUACAGUAUCAUAAUAGUAACACGGGCCGAGCCCUGUCUUUUCUUCAAUGUCUUUGGCUCUAUUGUGGAAUCGCCCAACUCGGUUGUCAAACUCAGUCACCAACGAGUUGUACAAACUCGCCGGCAACAUAGUAAAAGUGGUUCCAGAAUCCACAACCAAUCCACCGCUUCCCUCUCCGUCCACACUUUUCAAAAAUGCCGGUGCCGGAAUUUUCUUCUUGCCAAUAGAAAUCCCAUUGAGCCCAACGCAAUAAAAAUAAGGGUGUUUCGGGUUAUCAAGCAUAGAAGUGAACACAAAUUGAGGACGAUCAUUGUUAUUUGCCAUUUUCUUCUUCUCGUCUGAACGACCAAGAAUGAGUGUGCUUGGGAGGCGGAUUUGGUCUGAGUCAAAUGAAUGAGACACCAAACAGUAUGAGAACUGAUAACUUAGUUGGGGAGAGAAGGAAGCCAGCUGAGCAGGCAAGGAAAGUUCGCCGCGGCCGAACCCAGCAACCCCAACUGGCUCGGCUAGGGCGGUGUGGGCGCAACCGAAGGUGAAAUUCUGGAGUAUCAAAGAUGGGGUUGCAAAUGGAAGUGCUAUAGAGUCACGGUAAAGGCUAGCAACAAGACUCCCAUCACCGUAUGCAUAAUAGAAAGGAGGACAAGAAAAUGAUCGGCAAUCGGAAGUUUCAAUGGACUCUAAAGGACAAUUAGCAAUAGCACAGAGAUUGGAGGUGGGGAGGUUAGAAUGCACAGAAGAACAUGCAGAUGAUUCACAGUGGACCUUUCUAGCUGUGGUGGAAAGUUUCAGUGGCGGAGCUGAUGAAACAGUGUCGUUUUCUGCUUUGCCUUCGCAGAGAAUGCAUUCGAAGGGGUGGCAAGGGAACCAGACAAGGUCGCUGCCAGUAUCAAGGUAAAGGGAGAGGCGUUGAGGAGGGACAGAGUUAAGAGUGAAGGAAAGAGUAUAAUCACUACCCGGAGAGAGAGGAAGAGAGACUUGGCGAUGGUGGUGGGUAUGGAAGCGGGCGGCGGAGCGGGUGGAGGCGAAUUUGAGAAGGUGGUGGGUGGAGGUGAAGUGGUGAUGGGAGAGGGAGUGAGUGAGAGGGAGAAAAAGAAUCUGGGAGAUUGCAAAGGGGACAUGUAGAAGACAGAGAAAGAAACAGAGCAAGAAAGAAUAAGUAGUGGCCAUGCAGUUUCAGGCAGGGGAGGUUAUAAACAGAGUAAUAAUCACCGGAGAAAUGUAAGCUCGGAGAUAACAGUGAAGGUGGCUUGCGCCGCUAAUUUCAGGGUUGGAGUGUCGUCUCCUACCUCAAGCAAGGGAUCUUAUCAAGCCUUGCAUGGAGUUUUCUCCGUGUUGAGUUCAGAAUUCCAAUCGAAAUCAACUGUGCGCUAAAAAAAUUAGUGAUAUAAGAAUAGAUUUUGUCCGACAAAUUUGAAUCAAUUGCUAAUUAUAAAUGGAAUAAUUUUACAAUUCUUUUGAAAUUUAUUUUUAAAAAAUAAUGGUGAGAAUUUAUUUACAAUGUUUAUCGCAAUCCAUCUAAUUUAUUGAUAGUCCGGUGAUAAAUUUAAUUACUACCUGCUUCCUUGAAUUACUUGGGGGAAAAGAAAUACUUGCAGUGACAUUAAAGAAAAGCUGCCUGCUUGAUCAAAUUUGGAGAAUAUACACUUUCCUUUUUUUCCACAUAUUAAAAAAUAUAAUAUAUUUUUUAAAAACCCUAUAUCUCUCUCUUUUUCUUCUCCUUUGCGGGUUUAGUCCGUUUCUUCUUGCCGGAGUCUCGGCCGUCACCUGCCUUGACUGGACAGGCGGCCGUCUUUCUUCCCAACUCCAAGAGUUGAUUCUCCCUCCCCGUCUCCGGACGGAGUUAUAUUUAAAUAAACUUUUAUGAAGUUAAGGUAGUUUGUAAAUGCAAAGAAAAUAAUAUAAAGGGAGUAAAAUUUUGGUUAAAACCUUCUAAAAGUUUGUUGAAUCAAUUCAACUAGAAAUUUGAUUUAUUUGAAAAUUUAAUUGGAUUCUAUUUGUAUUUUCACAUUUUUUAGUUUAUUUGGUUAUCUUCAAAUUAUACAUAUAUAGAAAAAAGAAUUUAGAAAAACUGAACUAAACUAAUUUACUGUCUUUGAAAUUUUAUUAAUUGAUUAACAGGUUUAUAUAAUUAUAUUGAUGUUCUUAAUUAUAGAUUUGUUAAUAAUAUGAAGUUCACCCUCAUUUUAGAAGGAAAAUUAAAAGAGCUAGGUUAAUUAAUUAAUUGCAGAAAAAUUAUAAAUUGUAAUAUGAAAGGGACAGGAAAGACUUGAAAAUGAAAAAUGGGUCCUAGAGAUAAAACCCCCGGGACUUAUUGUCCCAAAAUGGGCACGUCUAGAAGGUUCCAUUGAGUCCACCCAACUAAUAAUGUCUCCCUUGAUUUUUAUACAUGUCCUUGAAUGAAGCUCCUUGAAUAUUUGCACGUACGAGUAGGUGAAAAUUGAGCAAAUCUAAAGAUAUUUGUUUAGGGUUAUUGCCCUACAUACAUGGGAAUAGGACCCCAAUUGAACAAGAUUAAUGGAAGAGGAAUCCAACACAGUGUACCUAGCUAUAGCUGCAUGUUUCAUGAUUCAUUACUUUCAAAUAAGAGUUUAGUCCUUAACCCUUCACAUGUUGGUCCUUUUCAAUACACUUUGUUUUAAUUAAAAAAUAAAUUCUUUCCUAAAAAGCACCAGUUCCAUUCCUAAAGCAGUUGGCUUAUUUGGCAUAUAACAAGCAUAACAGUGAACUAGGCUUAGCAGUUGUCCAAAUUGAACCAUGAACCAGAUCGAAACAGCCUAUUAGAGCUAGUUCCAAUUCCCCCUUUUGAACCAAGACUGGAACCAAUUCUCAAAUGAUCUGUUUAAUUGCCAGUUCAAAUUGGAACCAGCCCAACUUAAACUUUCAGUUUAUCUUAAUUUAAAUUACUUGGUCUGUUUGCUCUUUAAUUUUUUUUGCUGUACAUAAAUAAAUGACAUUAUAAAUCUAAAUUUGUAAAAUUUAAACCGAAACCACAUUAAACCAUAACCAUUUUAGAAUGAGCCUGUGGUGAACUGCAAUAGGCCUACAAAUUUUACAAUUACAGCUCCGAGGCCUAAAGCACCUAAUAAAAAUAAAGGGGGAAGGAUGGCUGCAGGCAGGACUUGAACCUGAUUAUUCCCCAAACAAGUAUGCAAACAGACCACAAAAUAAAAUUUAUAAGAAAAUACUAACCAAUUGUAACUUCAAACUUUUGUAGCAGACAUUGCCAUACAUAAAGGUUACAAGGACACACCAGAGAUUUCUAUAAUACUGAGACAGUUUCAAUGAACAAAUGAGGGCUCAAAUGAAAAUUUCUGAACACAUAAUUAAGGUUAUCAAAUUAGAGAAGUCAAAUCUAAGAUCAGCAUCUGCCACAUUACAAGGCCAUACCCAUGCCAAUUUAAUUUUCAUCAACAGAAACACAACCUUUAUUAAUUUUUCAAUUAUAUUCAUCUUAAAAAUAUUAAAUUUUAUUAAAUACUAAUGAAUAUUUUGAAAGGCUUUUUAAAAAUAAGAUAAAAUUAAAUAAGAUUGUAAUAGUCAAAUUAUAUUUUAUUAUAGUGUAAAAAAAGUGGAUAAUAAUUUUAAAAUAAUAAAAAAUUAAAAGAUAAACAAAAAUAAUUAUACAACGGAAGGAAUAUCUCACGGCCAUUGCAUGUGACUAUUAUAUUGAUUUGAAUUUAUUUGAUUCAAAAAGGGAAGAGUGACUCUUAGACACUUGGAACACCGUCUUAUAUAGUUCUUAGUCCCUAAAUGCUUAAGAAUGGCUAGAGCACUUCCCUCUCUCCCCCUGUUGUGGGAUGCUACCAUGGUCUUGUACAUCACUUGUAUGCUAAAUAUGCUUCUAUACUGUAUUUGUUUAGAGCUCAAUUGGUAUCUUAAUCAUAAAAAUACUUUCUUUGAUUUUUUUUUUCUAGUGACUAAUGAUUGCAUCUAAAGUGAUGUUGUUUCUUCUCUCAACUCGAGAGUUCUUAUUUGAUUUUGUGGCUUUAAAUGAUGGAUUAAUACCAAUUUGUUACCUCAAUCUAGUUGGUAUUUUCAUUGUUGUUGUUUUUGCUCUCCAUGAAAGGUAGGGUAAUAGCAUAGUGAUUUCUUAAUUAAGGGGAGUUUGGAUCCUUUGCUAGAGUUUUAUAUGAAUUGAUUUUUAUGCGGAUCUAUUUAGCUUUAAAUUGAUUGGACUACCUGUAUUUCGUACAACUCUUAUAUUAAGUUUUAAAUCUUUAAAUAAUAAAAUCUCUUAUUUUAGUAUAAAAAAGAAAAGAUUAGGAUUUUCAUUUUGAAUGUUUUACGUAUUUUCUUUUUAGAUAAGUCGAAACAUCAUUAUUAAGAAUUUUCUUAAAUCUCUUUUAGAGUAAAAAAAUUUAUUUUUUAAAUAAUUAUAUAGAUUUUUUUUAUCACCGUUAUAAUAAUAUAUAUAUUCUGUGUGAUUUAUUUCUUUAUAAUUUUAUUGUGUUUAUUGAUUAUAUUUGAUUCAUGCCGAUUUAGGACAUAGUUCUAAAGAGAGUUUCAUCAAGGAAUAUAGCACUAGAGUUAAAAAAAAUAUAGUUAAGCUCUUAUAACUAUAUGAAAUUAAAAUGUCACAACCUCGAAUCCUCUUCUCGCCUGAGUUUGAUAUAAGAUCCAUCAAAGCCUUGGGCUUUUAUAAUAAAAGCUCGCCUGUUUGGACGGUAAAUACACUUAAUAUUACAGUUUUUUAACAAAAUAACUAUAAAAGGCAUAAUCUGCUACGCCGUCGCUCAUCGUUUGCAGUAUGCGUCCCCCUCCGUCCAUCAAUCAUUCACUGUCAGUCUAAUGACUUCUGUAAUCUCCAAAACCCUAGUAAACCCCUAUUAUUCUCUGCUCCGCAUAGCCCGAUUCGCUCUGACUUCUCACUCACAACCAUUCAGUAGAGUCCGACACAUGAGCUCCGAGUCAUCUCAGCAAGUUUUCCAGCUCAAGGUCGACCCACUCACUGGUAACUCGGAGUGGGUUGUCAUUAGAGAAGACGAAGAAGAAAACUUUGGAAGUUCCCAUAAGAAUCUCUUGGCCACGACGUCGUAUUUGGACAUGCUCAAUGACUCCACCAGAAACAGAGCAUUCCGCGAGGCCAUCGACAAGACUAUAACGAAACCUUGCCAUGUGCUGGACAUUGGGUAUCCAUCACUCUUUUAGUGCAAUUGUUUAAUUUGAUUUUUAUAUUAUAUUUUUUUGAAGGUUUAGAUGCAGAUAUUGAAAAAAAAAAAAAAAAAAAAGAUGGCUUCAGCUACAAUAGGUAAUUUUUCAUUUUCCUUAAUUCAGCUCUGUUUGCUGUUUCUGUUUGGUAAAUGCAGUGCUGGAACUGGGUUGCUGUCAAUGAUGGCUGCACGGGCAAUGAAUUGUGGUGAGCCAACUUCUGCCAAUACAAAGGAGAGGGUAACAGCUUGCGAGUCUUAUCUUCCAAUGGUGAAAUUGAUGCGAAAAGUUCUGCACCUCAAUAAUAUGGGGAGGAACAUAAAUGUAAUCAACAAGCGCUCUGAUGAACUCAAAGUCGGCGUAGACAUUCCAACGCGUGCAGACGUUCUGGUGAGGUUUAAAGUGAUUAUAUUGAAUCUUCAUGUCUAUAUUUCUGUUGAUCUUGACAUCUAGAACAACUAAUAAAAGAUUAGAGAUGCAGUUUAUAGAAUAGAUUAUCUUUAUAGAUGGAUAAUGCGGUAGCAUAAGGGAAUGCGGAACUUGAAUUGGAAUUGGAACAUUGAACUACUACUUCUUUUGCCAACGGUGUUCAUUAAAAGUCCAUUACAUGAUUUGAGUGGCAAGCUAAGGUAAAAUCAAUCUUCCCAAAUGGGCCCAUUAAAUAAAGAUCCAGAGAGUAGCAUGACUAGCAUCACAGUUUGUGUUAUAGGAUUCGAUGAGUUAUUGCCAGUUAGAGUAUGUUUUACUGUCAAUUUAUUUUAUUAUUUAUUUUUAUUUUUACUCGAGAGUUAUUCUACUUGCAGGUUAGUGAGAUACUAGACUCAGAGUUACUGGGUGAAGGGUUAAUACCGACUCUGCAACAUGCACAUGACAUGCUGCUGGUGGAAAAUCCACUAACUGUACCAUAUCGUGCAACAACUUAUGGCCAGGUAUUAGGCUUUACCACAUAGGCAUUUUUUACCCUCAUUAUUCAUUUCUAGUUCUAACAGCCUUACUCUGUACGACACAAUUGAAACUUCGAACAGAAAUACAGAAUGGCCAAAAAGUUAAUUCGAGUCUCAAAUAGUUUUCUUUAGAUUAGCUUGAGCUUGCAUAUACAUAAGGCGGUAAAAGAUUAAGGAACAGUCUUUCUAUAUGCAUAUAUAUGUGUAUGUAUAUAUGUUGUCAACAUUUGCAUUCUUCUAAAAUGGGUGAAUACAGAGGACAAUGAUGAGUUGUGAUCCUGUAUCAUCCUUGGGAGGUGUUUUCGUGUUUUUUGUAUACCCUGAAAUUCUUUUGAUGUUUUCCACCCUUGAUUAGCUUUAGACAAGUUACUCUACAUCCAAAUCCAAACUUGCUUUUGCUUUUGAAAUAUUGAUAUAUGCUUCUACUAUUUUCUCCACUUUUUCCCUUUUGGUUAUCAACAUUAGUCUAGUUGUAUAGUUUCUCUUUUUCUUUCCUUUUUUUUCAUGCGUUGGAAUAACUUUGUUCUUCCUUAGCUUUUCUUUCAUCAAUUCUUAGAAUUAUUAUUAACCGACUGUGCUCUUGGUUUGAAUGAGGAUUCUUUUAAUCAUUGUAAAUCUCACUAUAUUGCAUUAUUUUCAUUUUGCAAAUUUCCUCGUCUUCCUCCCUUAGCUGGUUGAAAGUCCGUUCCUGUGGAAGCUGCAUGAUUUAUGUGAUAAUGAAGCAAAAGCAUCGGAUGGCAUUCAUCUUAUUCCAACUGGCUUGGAUAGUAUUUUACAUGUCAAAUUGCAGCAACAUCCCAUGCAUUGUGAUGCAAUCUCAAAAGAAAUAAAACUGGUAAUGACAUAAUAACUUUUCUACAGACUUCUUGGAGAAUAAAAGUGGUUUAAGUCCUCUCAACUUAGGAUUCAUCCAGCUAUCAGAACCCUUCAAAAUUUUUGAAUUUGACUUCUGGAAACGACCAGACAGCCAUCGGGAAUCUGAAUUGCAUAUCAAGGCCACUGAUGAUGGUAGAGUUCAUGCUAUAUUAUCAUGGUAAAUAUUUUCGAGCCAUUUAUGUGGCAUUUUUUCCUUCCUAGUGAGCAUGGUAACCUAUUUAAUUUCAGGUGGAUGCUGCAGCUUGAUUGUGAAGGGACAAUCUUUUAUUCCACUGCCCCUCGUUGGAUAACCACAAGUGAGUAGAAUUACCAUUCAGCUUUUAUUGUAAUCAUUAUUAUUAUUUUCAUUCUCUGUUAAUCAUGUGUUAGUUUGAUCUUCCAAUCAGUCAAUUUAAAGACUGAUCAUGUUCUUGUUUUUAGUUUUUGUUUUUAGUUUUUGUUUUUAGUUUUUGUUUUAUGCCAAGCAAAUCCAAUAGCAGUUGGGUCAUGGUGUGAUUCUCUUAUAAUGCGCUUAUCUAUUGAAUUUUGUGAUUUUGUGGCAUUUUUCAUCUAUGGAACUUCGUAAAGUAUAAGCUAUAUAUAGAGAGAGUUUAUUGUGACAAGUGACUUUGUGGCCCUUUUUCUUGAUGUUGCUUUCAGAUAGUUCCUCAAGAAUUUUUGGUCCUGAACUCACCAUUUGUCUGCUAAUAUGAUGUUUUGUUUUAGAAGUUAGGUUUUCAACUCAUCGAGUAUUAUUUGUUGAUUUUCAUUACAAGUUGUAAUGCUUAACUAGGUACCGGGAACUGGUGUGAUCAUUGGAAACAGUGUGUGUGGCUCAUUCCUGGGAAAGGUAUACCUAUAGGCAAGGGUGAGCAGCUUCUUUUUCGUGCCAUUCAUAAUGAUACUAGUGUCUUCUAUAAUCUUGCAAAAGAAGAUACUGAGGUCAGGCAGUAUAAUUUUUACUCUGGGGAAUUUGACCUUAUACUACCUCCUGAAAGGAUUGCAAUCUAUGGAGAUAGUAAAUGGAGGUUUUCCAUGUUAACAGCUCUAAGAAAUGCAGUAAGAUCUCUCUUCCUCUCUCUCUCUCUUUCUCUCUCUCUCUCUUUCUCUCUCUCUCUAAUUUUCUGCAUUUUUUACUUUCUUUAAUCAUGAGUUAUAUUUUGCAGUUGCAGGCAAGAGUUCAACCCCUCUGUGUUGUUGCAGACGAUAGUAUUUUUCUAACGCUUAGUGUUGCAAAUAUUUCAAAAACUGCACAUGUGAUAUCUUUGUUUCCUGGGUUGCGGGAGAGGGGUGCCCAAUAUCUGCAGAGAGUUGCUGAUGCCAAUGGUUUCACUGCAGAUCGUGUAAAAGUUCUCGAAAAUAAGAAAUGCUUAACUCUGCAAGAUACUAAUCAGAAGAAGGUAAGUUUUUGCACACAAGUUGUGCUUGUCAAAGUUUUUAAUUCUAGAUAUUCUUAGGAAAUUGUUCCUGUUACUUUUUUCCAUGUCUCUAAUCCCCUCUUUAUAUCUAUUGCAGAGGAGAGGUUAAAAUGAAUAAAAUUCUAUUUUUUUUUAUAUAAUUUUAUAUUAGAAAGCUAAACAAUGGCAUGGCCUAGCCCGCCUCCCCUUCCUAUAAAUCCUUCUGCUGCAAUUCAAGUAAAAUAAUACCUGAUAUCUUAUAGUGGAUGUCAUCCUUGCUCCUUAUGCAUGUAGUCCUGCAAAUUUAUGCUUAAUGCUUCUUUAAAAUUGAGAAUAGAUUAUGUCCAUCUGCAUUUGACAAACAAUUGGAGAUUAUGCAUUACAUUUGCAGGUUGAUCUGUUGAUUGGAGAGCCAUACUAUUAUGGAAAUGAUGGAAUGCUUCCAUGGCUAAACCUGCGAUUUUGGUAUGUAGAUGCAUAGUUUUUUACAUAUAGCAUGGUUAAUUGGACAUAAGUUUCUUGUAUAAAGCAUAGAUAGUUGGACAUAAUAAGUUAUGCUAUCCAUACAAAAUUUUCAUUCAGGUUGACAAUUUAUAUAUGGUUUUUGGCUUUGGAUUAACUUUAGGAAGGAACGAACUGUGUUGGACUCUGUCCUCUCUGAUGAUGCCUUAAUAAUGCCUUUUAAAGCAGUAUUGAAAGCUUGUGCCAUGUCACUACCAGUAAGGGGAAAAAAAGUUAUUUUAUUUGUCAAUUUUUUCAAUAAAAAGCUUGCAGCUACUCAAUGCAUUUGUCUAGUAAUGGAACCAAUAUUUGAAAUCUUGUAGGAGCUAUGGAAUAGCCGCCGCUGCUUAAGUAAGAUAGAAGGCUUUGAUCAUUCUAUUGUAAAUACAACCUUAGGGGCAUGUGGUGAAUUACCUCCACCACAUGAUGUUCCACUUCUGCCUUUUUUCAUCUGGCAAUGUGGAGAGAUUAAGGUAAUUAAUUACAUAAAGUUUAUUGUUUAUGGAAAGAUGGUGUCCUAGAAAACUAGUAUGAUCGCUACUUUGUGUAACUGAUUCAACUAUAUUGAAAAUUUUUAGGAACUCAGUGAGAGAUUCACAAUAAUGGAGUUUGAAUUCUCAAAGCCAAUAACUCCAUGUCAUGGAAAAGCCCAGGUAUUCUUUUUUCCCUUAUAUCUGAAGUAUUAUUGAUCCUGAAUAAGAUCUUUGAUCUAGUUAUCAAAUAGAUAAGAAAAUUUUUGUGGUUGUGAAAUAUGUGAGAAUGGACAGAGCUUAAACAUGAAACAGUAUUUCAAUUUUUGUAAAAUCCUUUUGUGUGGGAUUGAAAUGGCUGUGCAUAGGUUUUAGCUGUUAGUGAUCUUGAUAGGUAUGCUAUGUCUAGCAUAAAAUAAUAAUGAUAUAUAUAGGCUUAGUUAUCAAAGCAAAAAGACAAAAAAAGAAGAAAGAGUCUAAUUUUGAUAGCAUUGGAAAUGGAUUGUUACCUAUGAUUACACUGUAUCCCCAGCAUAUACUUGCUUAAUUUAUAAUUAUUGCAGGUCGAAUUUUCUGAAACUGGUAUAUGCCAUGGAUUUGUGAUAUGGAUUGAUUGGGUGAUGGAUGCAAGGAAUUCCGUGGUGUUAUCUACUGGGCCAGGUAUAAUUUAUUCUUCAGUCGGUGAAAUUGAAUUGGAACUUGGCUUGUCUAUCACAGCUACUUUACCUCGUUGUGCCUAUCAAAUAUGGACAAUGCAACCUUUUUGAAAGAAUAAAAUAAGUAAUCAUUUGUGGGGAUACUGCAAAAAUUGCCCUCCUUAGUCUUAUAAUGUUGUAAUAUGUAUUCAGAUGAGAGGUACUGGAAGCAAGGAGUGAAACUCCUUGCACAGCCAGUGGCAGUCAAAACCCGGGGAUCAUCUACAGGUGAAUAUCUAUAUACAGAGAUCGAAGCAUCGUUUGAUCCAUCAACCGGCGAACUUGCCAUCAGCCAUGCCUUCACAUAAUGCGUAAUGUAAGCUAAAAGAAUAUUUUUUGUAUCGCAGUAGAUGUACAUUUGGAUUCCAUGUUGCCUUUUCUUUGUGUUACGUCAAUGUCUGCAUUUCUUUUUCCAUUAAUAACCUACAAAUGGAGAAAUUCUUGUGUGAUGUUAGUCCAUCACGUGUAUCUGUGUACUAACCAUCCUGUGCCAAUCAAAUGCUAUAUGUGAUUUUUUUUAAAAAAGAGCAUUUUUGAGUAUUGAAAUUUAGCCGAUCUAAAUUGAUCAACGUCCCGUAUUUCAUUUCUCACGCUGCUAUUAAGGAUCACACUUGGGAUUGGGCUAUCCAACACUACAAGCCUUAUUAGCAGGCCACAAUUCCCGGUCGUUAUGCCAACAUCAAUACCUAAUGUCCAUGGAUAAUGAAAUAAAAGGACACACCUCAAUUUGGCUUCCUAAGGCGCUAGUGUACGCUACAUGUCAUACUCAAAGAACGAGUUGGUGAAUCAAAUAUGCAAGGAAUAGAAAGGAUCUCCUUCUCAUCUUUAGAGAGAGGAGUGAACUAUCUAUUUAUCCAUUCUGCAUUUAAGGCUAGUCCCGAUUUUCUUGCCAGAUGUAGGGGAGGGCAACUCCUCCGCACAGUUGNNNNNNNNNNNNNNNNNNNNNNNNNNNNNNNNNNNNNNNNNNNNNNNNNNNNNNNNNNNNNNNNNNNNNNNNNNNNNNNNNNNNNNNNNNNNNNNNNNNNNNNNNNNNNNNNNNNNNNNNNNNNNNNNNNNNNNNNNNNNNNNNNNNNNNNNNNNNNNNNNNNNNNNNNNNNNNNNNNNNNNNNNNNNNNNNNNNNNNNNNNNNNNNNNNNNNNNNNNNNNNNNNNNNNNNNNNNNNNNNNNNNNNNNNNNNNNNNNNNNNNNNNNNNNNNNNNNNNNNNNNNNNNNNNNNNNNNNNNNNNNNNNNNNNNNNNNNNNNNNNNNNNNNNNNNNNNNNNNNNNNNNNNNNNNNNNNNNNNNNNNNNNNNNNNNNNNNNNNNNNNNNNNNNNNNNNNNNNNNNNNNNNNNNNNNNNNNNNNNNNNNNNNNNNNNNNNNNNNNNNNNNNNNNNNNNNNNNNNNNNNNNNNNNNNNNNNNNNNNNNNNNNNNNNNNNNNNNNNNNNNNNNNNNNNNNNNNNNNNNNNNNNNNNNNNNNNNNNNNNNNNNNNNNNNNNNNNNNNNNNNNNNNNNNNNNNNNNNNNNNNNNNNNNNNNNNNNNNNNNNNNNNNNNNNNNNNNNNNNNNNNNNNNNNNNNNNNNNNNNNNNNNNNNNNNNNNNNNNNNNNNNNNNNNNNNNNNNNNNNNNNNNNNNNNNNNNCUAUCUUGGGUGCAAAAGAAAUAUAUAUAUUCUGCAAAUUGCUAAACAACGAUGGUAUUUCUCUUGUUUCUAAACAGAUUGGAUUUCUUGGUUCUUUCAUCUUCUUCAUUUUCAUGGAAAAUUUUACCCUUGUCAAAAGAAUUACCAGCUCAUGUUCCUCGUUUUGAAUUAUAACAGAAAUGAGCUACGAGACCAGAACAAUUUAAUUUCUGAUCCUCCCGGAGUACCAACUGCUACUCGAUUUUUGCUGCUGUUAUUUAAAUGGAGUUUGCCAACAGAAAAAAAGAAAGGGAAAAAAGGUUUUAAGUAAUUUGAUGAAAUUACGGAAACCCUUCGAAAUCCAAAACCACUGUAAAUAACGAUGGUCAAUGUCUUCAGACUCCAUUCAACGACCAACCAAAAUUAAAUGUAGAUCAGCAAUAAAACAUGACAAAAAGAUAGAUGUGUCGCAAUCAAUCAUACACAUACACAAUUCCAAAAUCUUCCUUCAGAACAAUUCAUUUUAUAAUUAAAAAAAUUAAAUAAAUUCUCAUAAAAACAUGCAUAAUUUAAAAUUCUUGAUUCCAAAUAAAAAAAAAAUAAAGAUUUUAAUUAGAAAAAUUAUAGCAGAAAGAAAAGGGUUAAAUUAAUGUCCUUAUUUGGAGUAAUUUUAUACAAAAACGGUGAUAUUACAUGAAAAGAAAACUCAAUAAAAAUUUAAAAAAUAAAAAGAAAAAAGAAAAACCUAAAAAAAAACUACCAAAUAACUUUUUUUAUUUGACUGUAUUAUUUAUCUACCUAUCAAAUUUUUAGUGGUCUAACAUUUUGUCAUAACCAAUAAUUUUUCCCUUAUUUUGAGAUGUAAUUCCAAACAAAAAAGUAGAGUCAUCAUCUAUGUCGUAUUUACCUCAAGGGGCAUGUCAAAAAAUCGCAAGAGGUAACCAGCGUUAAAAUAAAGCAAAAGUGGGUGAAAAUUAUACCCUAUGAGAUUCUUGAGGUAUUAACAACUCUGCGUAAUCAUCCACCGUUACCUGUUUCAGAUAGACCAAUUUAAAAAGAAAAAUAAAACUAUUAAUCAAUUGCUUUAUGCGCAGAGACACAGAGAGAGAGAGUUCUAGUACCUCAAAUAUUUGGCCACCACAUGUGUACUCUACAUAUAAUUCCUUAGGUUCUCCAGGACAAGGAUCACAGAAUCCCAUAAUACCCGAUUUUUUAACACCCUCGUGAAGCUGCAACAAUAUGAUGAAAACCAAAAAUUAAAUCAAUGUCUACAUUAUGCCAUCUGUGGAGAAAUAUUCAAAAUAAGAAGGGACUCGGUUUCAUCUACACUCAUUGAACUUAUCCCAUUUUUCACAACAAUCAUUAAACUUCAAUCAAUAUCAGUAAAAUCUUUCAACUUUAAUUUCGUUUCAAUAAGGUCGAUAUUGUUAUAUUUUGAUAGAAAUGUCAUUGCUGAUUACAUCAACCUAGAGAAGUCACAAGCGUGCUAAAAAAAAAAAGAGAGAUUUCUCUACUUUGACAUGAAGUCAUGAAGAAGGCUCUGUCAAUAUUAGACCUUUCUAUAAAUAUAGCACUAAAACAAGUAGAAUUAGGGAAAAGGACGUUUAUAGCUGAUUCCAACUGUUGCCCAGGACUGACUAUAUCCAUAAUUGAAAACCACAAGAAGAAGAAUAUAGAAUUGAAAGAAACAUACCUUCAAUUGUCCAGAAUCAUUAACCAGGAAAUUCAGAGGAACUGUAACAUCAAUGACUUCAAAAGCUAAUUCAUCAUUUACUUCUGUUAGUCCUCCUUUCUUCAAAGCUUUUCGACUUCCAUACAAUGCUUUAGUAAUAAUCAAUCCAUUUGUUUCCACUUGCCUAUUUCUUUUCCUAUUGGCCACAACUUGUAAUAACUGUUGUGCCUUUUCUGCUGCUACCCUUGCCUCUUGAACCUACACAAGGAUUCAGAGGCAUUUUUGAAGUAUUGAACAAGACUAGAUUGAAAAAAGGAGCAAAUAAAGGCAAUUCCCAAUUUCAGUUUAGAAAAUAUGACACUCCCAAAAAUAUCAGAAUGCUUGAAAUGAUCAAAUUUGCUGAAUGAAUGUUAGAUUGGACAUUCUGCCCAGUUUUCAUACCAUUUUGAUAAGAACUUCUCUAACAAAAUCAAAUAAUACUAGUCUUAAAUUCCUCGAAUUAUCAAUAGAAUAAAAUACUGAUUUCAAGAUUAUAUUUGACGAUGUAAUUGUAAACUAUAAAAGAAAAGACGACAUUUUGGAAGUAAGAUUACAUUUGACAAACUAAACUCAAAUGAAAUAGCUGUUGCUAGCACGCUAUUUAAGUUAUCAGGUCUUGGAACAGAGCAAAGCAAGCAUAAACCAAAACUUCUUUGGGCAAAUGGGCAAUCAAUACCUGGGCAGAAGUUAUCUCUUUAUUCUCCAAAGCUUUCCUCUUUUCUCUUUGAAGGUAGUAAGGUUUGACAACAAAUUUCUGCAUGCGCACAAAAUUUAUACACAAUUAAUAACAAUGCAGACACAAAGUCUAUUCUCAUACACCUCAAAUAACUUGGAGGACUACUUCACUGAACAUCUCCAAUAAACUAAGUCGCAUUUGUUGGACAGGUGAUGACCAAGACCGCCAGCAAAAAUUAACAAAUGAAAAAAACCAGUGAUGAUUCAUGAACAUGAAAAACCAUUACAGUGAGAUGCAAAAGAUAGCUUGAAUAAUGAGAAAGAGCCACCUGAACACAAAUUCUGUCCAACUUCUAAUUCAUAGGAUACAAAUUUUCACCAAACGUGAAAGGUACAAUCCAUGUCUAAAUACCUUGAACAUGAAAUCUUCCUUUCAAAGAAAGUACCUAACCUCUCAACAAGCUAUUGCUCAUUAUACAAAAUAGGAAGGCAUGCUCAUGAAGCCAAGAGUUAUACCACGUGCGCAUUUGAGAAUUUGAUUAUAUUUCACUUUAUAACAAAGGAAAAGAAGGAAAAUAAACAAGAACAAAGAUUGCUCGUGGAAGAAAUGAAUUAAGCUAUAGAAAUAACCAGCGUUGUCUCCACAGAGACAGAUGGACAAAAAUGGUUUAAACUUGGAAUUGUGACAUGGAUGUUGUGUAACACUAAGCCUAUUGGGCUCCUAAUGAACUGGGGAAGAAGCAAAGUGAAAAGAGGAACCCUGAGCUCAACUGAGUAUGCAUCAACUAAUGAAGAACUUAACAUGCGUGUAUCUAAUUCAGUUGAACUUGCAAUAACUCCAGCUGCUUUGAAAUGGAAUUGAAGUUAAAACAAAAAUCAUACCACCUAGUUGGCUACCUUACAAGCAAACAAUAAGAGUUCAGCAUCAGUAAUAGUAAUAACCUUGAGUAAAAAGUAAAGUGAUGUAGGAAUUAGGAAUGCUCCAGUUGCAAAAGUCAAAUUCAAAUGCCUGGAAAGCAAUAUCUGCAUAUAACACUUCAUCAGCCCAAAAAAAAAAAGUAAAGAAAAAGAAAUAAAGGAGAUGGUAAGAUGGCAUAAACAAAUGAGAUAUUGAGAUGUUAGAAAUAGUCAUAACUCUUCUAGAAAACGAAAAUAGCCAGGUUGCAGAAUUGGCAAAUUACAUCAUGUCAUUCUGUUAGAAUCAAGUUUCAGAUAAAAACUUUUGAAGAUAUGACAACAUAUAACAUCUAUAGUGUUUUGAAGAACAGUGGUGUAAGGAUAGGAUAGAAAAUUGCACUCCGAUGGAGUCUCAUCGCUUCAAAUGCCUCUGUGGAAAAGAAUAUAAUGUGUAUAUAUAUUAUACACACCCCUCCAUAAGCCCCAUCCAAACAAUUUAAAUUUUAAACUUUUUUUUUCUUUUAAAAAGUAGAAAAUCAUCACAUUUCAACACAAAAGCCUACCUCAAAUGUUAGACCAUCAACUAUCAAGAAAUCAAUUAGAAAAAAUGAUUGCUCUAACAUAUAUUUUAUUGCCAACGUUAAUUUUACUAAUUAUUUUACCAGACAGAAAUUUUAGAAAUUUUGUCUGAGACUUGAGAGCCUUCCACCAGAAGAGGGAUUAGAGCCAUCCAUCAAGUUAAAAUAACUGGCUAACUAAAGUAACCCAGAUGCUUAAUUUGUGUUUAAGUGGAUUAAUUUUAAAAUUUGCUGCUGCAUUUCUGUGUUUGACCAACAAAAUAACUCGUAUAAAGCUGCAAACUUUUACCAAGCAAUAACUCCUAUCUAGAAUUCCUACUGCAGACUAAGCAUACGAAAGGAAUAAAAUUUCGAGCAAAUAUAACAUGCCAAGUUGAAGCAAGUGAAAGGAUAAGAUUUGCUCACAGGAAUAAUGAACUUUUGCCCACCACGAUGCAAUUCAAAUUUCCAAAAGAUACCCUGCAACAAAAAUGAGUAAGAUUUUCAGAUAUAUAGAAAAGCAGUAACAACCCAGAAGACAAUUCAACAAAUAAAAACUAAGUGCUUGACUUUCUUGGAUUAUGCUUAAGCAGGUAGUUGAUUUGAUGGGAUGCUUGAGAGUGUUAAUCAAAGCAAGGAAUAAUUAGGCUACUUCACUGAUGCUAUGGAACAUUUCUAUUUCUUCUUCUUCAUGAGGGCUUAGGCACUAGGCCGAGUGGGCCACCAUAUUCUUUCCUUAAGAAUAAGAUUGCAAAAAGUUGUUCUGGGAUCAGUUCUGUCAGUUUCCAGCAUUGUAAUCAAUUUAUUCUGGACAUUCAUACAUUUUAGGCAUUGAUUUCUUCAAUAAACCUUCUGUUAAACUUUCAAAGUCAACGCUAUUUAGCCAAAAGUUGUCUCUAACCUAAUUGGUGCAUUUUAUCAAAUCAGUGCUAAUACGAUGGCAUUACGCCUUUAGUCAGGAAGACUUCCUUAAAAUGUCCCUUAGCAUACAACCUCUGGUAUUCCUAAGCAUAACAAGCAAUACCUGAAUAAUACUUUAUAGAAAGAAGAAAUCAUUUAUAGAGAAACGUCAACAAGCAAAACCAGGCACAUAUAUACCUGAAUAAUUCUUUAUACGUUUAAAAAACAACUUUAACAGUUCAUGAAAUUUUCUCAGCAACAUCAACAAUCAAGCCUUAGUCCCAAACUAGAUGGGUUCGACUAUAUGAAUUACUUUUCAUUAUCAACUCUGUUUGAAACCAAUUUUUCAUUAAAAUCCAAAAUUUAUAUAUCUUUUGAUACUACUUCCCUCCAUAUCAUUGAUGUCUCCCCCAUUCCCUUCUCACUCCUUCUGCCACUAACUGACCAUACUUCUGUACUGGGGCGUUAUAUGCUCUAUGUUGUCCGCACAAAUCUCCCAAAAUCCAAAAUUUUAAACCAGAAUAACAUUUUUUAUAUUAAGAGAAUAAAUAUUUAAGGAAAAAGAUCCAAGAUUACAACUUCAAGGAUAAGUUAUCUCCUAAUCUAGUCAACAAAAAAGGAUUGAUGAUUAAUAAAGUAAAGCCCUCCACAAUACUAAACAGAACUUAAAGACACUCUUCUAAAAGCCCCAAUGGCAGAAUCUGACAAGGAAGCCAAGAAACCGUCUUGUCACUUAACAGAUUAAAUAGAAUAUCAAAAUAACAUAGAAGCAUGAUAUGUCAUCAUUUCUAAUACCUGAAUUCCUAUUGUAUACAGCAUCCUCACAGUGCUGAAGUUGGACACUUUUCUUCCCCCACCAACUUCAAUCUCCAGAGCCGUGCUGCAACAACAAUAUCAAAAAUUAUAAGAGAAAUCUGGCAUUCUUGAUCAGCUCAAUAAUAGUGGAUAAAUACGUCUUUUACGUCACAGACUUUCUCCAUGAAUGCUAGCCAUUGUGGACCCCAGAACUUCUCUUGCAUAACUAUUUGCUUUCAUUGUUCCAGAACCAAGUGAAAAUUCUGAACAAUUGUUGAAACCAUUUGAAUCCAAAUUUUUUGGCUUAUUUCAAGUAGUGAGGCAAUCAACCUAAAGUGAUUUAUAUAAACUUAUGAUAAAAACAUACACACAUCUGAUGGAUAAACAAGCUGAAACCAACAGAGUGUGAAGCAUCUCAGUUUCAGCAUUAAUACCAGAUGAUUGCUGACACAUACGAUGGAAACUUCCUUCCCAUUUCAUCUGUGUAUAUUAUUCAACAAGGUACAAGAGAGUUUUUUUACAACAUUUCUUUUUCUUUUUAAUGAUUAUAACAUUUUAUAAGCUUACAUUCAUUCAUAGUCCAUAUCAUGAAAAACAUGAUACCUCACUAACUACAUUUACAGCACAAAACAAAUGAGAAUAAGGCAAACUAAUAAUUUCAAAUAAGAUAAUAUGCCAACAAUAUUAGUUAUAACUAUAGAAUUAUUAUCCAUAUAAGUUUUUAGCAUAUACCUCCCAAAUGUGCCUGCAAUACGACCAUGAGAUACUGACGAAAAGCGAUGGGUGUAAUUAGCUGAUGCUCCGAAAGAAGUGGUACCGAUCUGUGGUAAAUAAACAUAUUAAAAAAAGAAGUGAUAAGGAUAACAAGCGAGAAGCAUAUCUUAAAUAAAGCUUCUAAAAAUUAGCAAAAUUUGAACAUAACAAUCACGAAGACAACAUAUGGAAACAUGCAUUUAACAAGGUAGAUCAACAAAAAUUGUUAAGUCAACCAGUUGAUUAUAGACAACUGCAAGAAAGGAAGGAGCACAGAUACUGGUAGUGUUGUUUCACCUAGCAAGCAACCAGAGGGUACACUCAAGACAGAAAAAAUGAAAUUUGUGGAUUUGGUAGUGUCUAUCUGAACAAAAGAAACCACUUAAAAAAAUCAGCUAAUGCAUACACAAUAAAACUCCAAACUUCUAGGCAAAUAUCUGCUUGCCUGGAGUAGUUCUAACUCGUAACGUUAUCUAAUUUUUCAUUCCUCAAAAUUUUCCCAAGAUUUAGCAUACUUAGAACUAAAUUUCUUGCUAGCUUAAAUAGCAAAUAGAUGUACCUUCAACUCUCCAGCAGCAGACAUCUUUUCAUCCUUCUUCUGCCAUCCAACUGUUAUAGAUGAUUCUGGACCUAAAAAAAGCUGAACCUGGUAAAAAGGAUAUAAACAAACAGCAAUUGAAAGAUGUUAGAUGUUACAAACAAGUAAAUUUAAAAAUUCAGUAAGCUACUCAAGCUUACAAAAAGUGUUCACAACCUCAAAUAAUCUGAAGAGCAUUCAGCACUACAUUUCAACAGCAAAUGUGCCGCUGCAAUAAAUAUACUUACUUGUGAAAAGAAACCCACACAUGCAUGCUCACAUACGCUUAAAUUAAAAACAGCAUACAUUUCCAUUUGCUGUUUCAGAUAGUUGUCGGGUCCAAGUAUUAGAAAGAUUGAUUGAACCAUCUCUCAAAGACUUUGCAAUGGUAAUUGUUGCCGUUGAGUGUAAAGAUAAGUGACUGGAAAACAAAGGACAAAUUACUGAAUCGAAAAUAGAUGUGCUAGAUAGUCAUACAGACAACAUGAAAAAUCAAAUGAACUACCGUGUAGUUUGUACUCCAACAAGUGCCCGCAAACCAGCUGAGGCCAUAAAUUCUAUGGACGAAACUGAAGAAAGCUGAUGCUUAAGCACAGCACUAGCGGCUGCACCACCAGAACUUUCUUGAACUUCCAAAUUUCCACCAAUAGCAAUAGUAUUACGUUUUGAUAAUUGGAAAUGAACUUCACUGGACAUAGCCAUUCUGAAAUAUAAAUUAAAAGCAUGAGUUUCAUAAAAGAAGGGCACAACAUAUAAAAAAGUAUCCAAUAAAAUUCACUCUGAAAAUUAAGGUAAAAAAUGUCUAAAAUCAUGAUGUAGAAAGGUUAUAUACUUUUGUUGGACUAUGAUAACUCAUACAGGUAAUUUAUCUUUAGCAUGCCAUAGGUUUAUUGAUCAUAUAAUAAACUACCAGUUUAAAGAGAAAAGAAAAACACCAUUAGCAUUUGUGUGUUUGUGCAUUGUCUCUAAGAAAAAAAGAGAUCUUUUUUUCCUAUUGCAUGCUCAUAGGUGGUCAAGUUUCUUCACAUGUUGAAAGUGUUUGGUAAAUUAUAGAAGAUAUCAAUCAAGUGUGCAACAACCAUUCAGGAAGUUCUGAAAUCAGAUCACAUGAAGUUUAAACUUAAAAGAAGAGGAACGGUUAUGAUACCCUCUCAUUAUGCCAUCACCAUCCAGAAACUGUGGCAAGGAUAAGUGGGCCAAUAUUGUACCAGACGGUCGGAAAUGUGCUACCAUCUUUUGGUGCUCUUUCCUCCGUCUCAACCUUUCAAGUUCUUCCUUUAACUCCUCUGGUUUGUUCAGCUUUGGACCAAGUUCCAAACCAGAGGUUAAUCCUUCCAUACCAUAUACGUCAUAUAUUUGCCUUUUACUCUCAUCUGAUAAUACUUCAUAUGCUUCACAUACCCGUUGAAAGUUCUGUGUAGCUAUUUCCUUCAUCUGAAUACAAGCAUCCAAAAGGAGGAAAGGAAACAGAGAGGCAAAAUUCUAAAAUUAAAACUAUGAAUGUGAAUCCAAGGAAAUAAUAAGUGCAUUUUAGGGAGCAAAGAGCUACAUGGACAGAUCUGGAAGACAUAAUAAUUCUACCAUUUCACUGCCAUGCCAAAUUUACAGGUCAAUUUCUAAGGGGCGGAAAUGUGUCUGCUAAGACAGAGUCAGAAGUCAAAACCAUCUAUGGCAGGAAGGGAGAUGUGAAAACUGUCAGUAGUCAACUAAUUGGCCCAAUUAAGUCUUUCCACUUUUAGUAUAGAAGAAUAUGAACAUUUAAAAUUACUAAACCAUAAGAAAAACAUGAUGUAUAAGGUGGUCUCCACUGCUUAUAUUUAUAAUACAUGAACAUGUAAACAUAUAUGAACUUCAUUGUUUAUGAUCACACAAGCGCUAUUGGAAUUCAUAGGUGACUACUAAAUGAUAUAUCAAUAAGCUCAUGUCAUAUUGGACAAGCCAAAGAAAUUAGCACAUAAAUUCUGGGCCAGAGAAACGUUCUACUUUCUUCAGCUCUUCUACAUGUUUUGCCAGGUUCUUUAAGCACCUAGUGAAAUUAGUUCCCACAUUUAAAAUCAUUCUUCUUAGCUUAAGCAAAAGAAACAUAAUUCAACAAGUUAAGCAAAAAACUAAACCCGCAAUGCCUCAAAUAAUUACACCACCAUUUCUGUCACUGCCACCAAACACACACACCAAUACGUCUUGGAUACGCAAAAUUUAUAUUUUAAGAAACAAUGGGCAUAAAAAUCGAUACUGCAACUAACAAAACUUAACUUCGUGCCUAUUUACAAUUUAGGGGCAUACAUGGAGGUCUUGGUAUUUGUCAGGGUGGUAGACUUGGGCCCAGUGGCGAUAAGCCUUUCUAAUUUCUUCAUCGGUGGCCUCCGGCGACACUUGCAGCACCGCAUAAAGCUCUCUCUUUGGCUGUCCUGCGUCUUCUUCCAUUUCUUGAAUCCAAUUCAGUGAGAGGAGAUUAUCUUCUGAAACAUAGGCACAGAGAGACGAAGCUAUGAAAUGAAAGUGAAAAACAAGGGAGGGUUUAGGGGUUUAUGGUUUUUGCGAGUGGAUUUUUUUUUUUCCGAAAUUGCGAGCAGUUCAGGGAGGAGUUUUGAGACUUGCACCGCCAUUUCUUGAGGGCAAAAAGCUAAUAUCACUUGUUUGUGACUGAAUUCUCCAGUACUGAGAAUCUGAGAUGCCACGUCAUCCGUCGUCUGGAGGUGUAAGAAAUUGGGCUUUUCUUCCUUUCAUUUAUCCUAGGCCCCCAACCGCGCGAAAAGGAAGGAUCAGCCCAAAGUAAAUAUCAAUUUCCAGUGAGCUUUUAAAAAAAUUUUGUUAUUUUUUUUCUUUUUUUAUUAUAAAAGAAAUGUGAAGCUUGAAACUAUAUCACUAAUUCUUGUCUAUACUAAAAAAAUUAAUAAAUUUUAAUUAUAUAAUUCACAUUUCACAUUUAAAAAAUAAGAGUUUAAAUUUUAAUUCCAAUUAAGUCAACGGUACUAAAAAUCAUUAUUUAACUUUUACUAUGUUUGCUUUUAAAUUGGCUAACUAUAUAUUUUAUAUGAUAUUUUUCACAAAAAUUAUUUUAUUUUUAAAUUUUAUACAAAUUUAUAUGGAGAAACGCGCUGUGGGCUGGAUUGACCUGAGCGUGCGAGGUACAGUGUAUGCGGAUUGGACUGCCAAGCGAGUUAUAGUGCGAGGUGCUGGCUAUCUGUAGGCUGAAUGCGAGGAAGACCACUCAAAAGCUGCUAUGCCGAUUUUCUGUGGUAGACUUACGGAUUCAACAAGUCUGUCAAGCCGUGAAAGAUUUCAAAAUUGUACGGAGUUCGUCCGAGAAGCUUUCUAACCUCUCCGGAACAUCUCUAGAAUAUUUCUAGAGAAAUAUCUGGCAGGAAGCUUCUCCAAUAAUCCUGAAAUAACUUGAUCUUUUGCUAAUUGUAUAUCAAAAUGCAUCAUAUACCUGCAUUGUAGGUAUAAAAUAAUUUUAUAUCUAUUUUGCACUACAAUUUAAAUAAUCUAAAGUCAAAAGAUAAAUAUAGAAAGAGAGAUAAUUUAAACCAACUCUUUGUUUAUUAUAUUAAAAAAAAUAUUAUAUUUGAUGAGCAUUAUUUGCAUAAUAAUUUUUUUUAUCGUGCAAAACUGUUUGUACUUUUAUAAUUAAUCUGAUUAACUUAUAAUGAAAUUACAAAUAUCGAACCGAAAAAAUCUAAUUAUAUAUUUAACUUAACUCCUUUUAUUAUGUAUUAAAUUCUCUUACAUAUAUCGAAAAAAUAUUACCACUAAAAGUAAACAUCUAAAAGUAUUCUUUAAAAAUUAUGUAUUAAAUUCUCAUACAUAUACUAAAAAAAUAUUACCAAUAAUUAUUGUCCAAACAUUGCGAAGUAUCUCCUCUUACUAAUAUUAUCAAACAAAUAAAUUAGUUUCCUAAUAUAAAAAUAUAAAAAGAGAUUUAGACAAAUAAAUUAGUCUCCUAAUAUAAAAAUAUAAAAAGAGAUUUAGAGAGAUGAAAAAAUAAUUUCAAAUUUUCAAAAAAGUAUAAGAAAAUAUUCAACUCAUAUAUCCUAUGAAAAAUAGCUGAAGCGAUAGAAAAAAAAAAAAGAAAAAUGAUGUCAUAAUAAUUACAAUCUUAUAGCUAUGGAGGGUAGAGGACACUACUAGUAAACUCGCAUAACGAUGUCAUGUAUUAUGAUAUGCAAAUUAAUAAAAUUUACAUAAAAUUAAAAUUUAUUUGAUUUAAAUUGAUUAUUUUUUUAAAAAUAAUUUUUUAUAAAAUAAUUUAAUUGAUUAACUGCGUGUAAAUAAUUUACUUCUCUUUCAUUCCUUUCAUGAAAGGAAAAAAUGUUUUUAGCUUUUAAAAAAAUUAAAUAAAAAUAUUAAUUAAAUAGAUAUAAUUUUAAUAUUUUUUAUUUGAAUUAUUUCAAUACCUAAAGAUAGCGAGGGGCAAAGAAUUUGUUGCCUUUUUCCUAACUUCCUAUUCCGGUUUGACACACGACAACACGCCAUCCGCACCCUCGCCCACAAAAAGACAAACAUAUUUAAUUCAAUUAGUUUUUGUCUAAUUUGACAAAUGACUCCACGUUUCUUUGCCUCUUAAUCAUAUUCUUCGGUGUACCCUUCAAUUCAAAAGACCCUUUGUUUUAUGUGUGAACGAAUAGAAACGGAUCAAGUAUUUUUUAGUAACUAAUUUGAAUAACUAUAUUAAAACAGGUGUGGAUAAUAUAUAAUCGAUUGAGUUUAUAUAUUUAUUAUAAAUUAUUCAAAUCGUUUAUAUAAAUAAUUAAUUUAACAUAAAUAAAUUUAUAUAUUUUAAUUUAAAAAAUAUAAUUUAAAUAUUUUUUAAAAAAUCAAAUUUAUAAAAAAAUUUAUUAAUGAAAAUAUUUGUUAUACGUAAAAUUAAUUCAGUUAUUAUUUAGAUAAUAAUAAUUGAAUUUUUAAAAUAAUUUAAAAUGAAUUUAAAUAAUUUAAAAUAUAUUAAAAUAAUAAAAAAAAUUUAAUCAUGUUGAAAUUCAAAUAUAAUAAUUUUCACGAAUAUUAUACUCCAAGCCAUCUCAAAUGUUCAAGCACAUGAAAGGGGCUGCAACUCUAGUAUUACUUAAAGCCAUUUGGAUUUUUAUAAUUUAUUCAUUUUAUAAUUUUUAUCUACUCUAUUUUUUUAUAAAAAAAUAAUUACUUUAAUUAAAAUCAAUUUUUUUAUUAAUUUUUUAAUUAUCUUAAUUUUUAAUAUAAAAUAAAAAUAUUAUUUUCUAUUGAAAUAAUAAAAUUAAUUUAAAUUAAUUACUAAGAUAGUUUAAAUUUUUAUUAAAAAAACAAUUAAUAAUAAAUUAUUUGAGAAUAAGAUAAAUUAAAUAAAAUUAUAAUAUAAAAAAAUCAAAACAUUGAGACAAUUAAAAAUAAAAAGUGCAAAAAAAUUAUAAAACAGAGUAUUUAUUAAUUAAGAACACAUUGAAAAUAAAAUUUUAUUUACAAAUUAAAAUUUAUAUAUAUAUUAAAAAAAUUAUAUUUAAUAAGCACGAUUUUAUAUUUAUAUCAUACACUGUCCAGUUUCGGUAAGUACAGCCGACUUCAUAUGUACAUUAUUGCGAGGCUUAUCUCUUGACUUUUGCAGACCAUAUCCAUACAAUAUGUAUAUACAUAUAGAUGGAUAAUCUGGCUAGGUUGAAUAACUAUAAGAAUAAAAAUUAAGUGGUUUAAUAUAUUAAAAUUACAAAUAAUAUAUUUGUAUAAUUAUUUAUUUUAAUAAUAUAAUAAAAAUAAUAUAAAUUAUAUUGUUAUUAUUAUUGAUGACCGCUGGAUUUCACCAUCCCAUUACAAGACUAGACUCAUAAUGACAGUUCUAUUUGAGCGCCUUUAAGUCUCCUGAAUGGGCCGAUUCAGUCCGUUCGGCUCUGAGAUCAAACCUCUCUAGGCCUCAAUUCCAAUCUCUCCAUCCAGUCCAAUCAAGAGGGGAACAGAUAAUCAGCCCAUUGGUCUGGUGGAUCCGUUCGCAAGCGCGUCAAAAGAAAUUAAAUGACCGUUACGCAUGGAGUAGAUGUCUGACAUAUUCGUACGUACGGAGCUGAGUGACAGAGACAGCUAGCACUGUAACAGAGAGGCAGAUAUACAUCACGGGUAAAAAAAGAGGGGUUUUUCUUCCUUCUUUUUUCUGGACUCCAUUUUUCUUUCUCUUUGUAAUUUUUGUCUAUAUAUACUACUUUAGUUCAUAAAAUCUGACUGGAAUGUCGGAGAGUCUCCACCGGGACAUCUCCAAUAGACUCCUUACUAUUUUUUUUCAUUUUGCAGAUUUUUUGCUCGAAGCACGUAUUGAGGAACUCAUAUAAUGGACCGAAAAGAAAAUCAAAUCUAUUAAAUGAAAAAAAAAAAGAUUUAUCAAUUAUUAUUAAUUAUUUUAAUUACACUCAUUAAUUUAAUUUAAUAAUAAAUACAUUUACGUAAAUUUAAAAGAUUUUAAAUUUUAUUAAAAUCAUUUUAGUUAAUAUAUAAAUUAGCUUUUAGUCAUCGAGUGAUUCUGUAGUGGUCCAUAUGAAUGCGAAUGGUGAUGUGCUGUGGCUAACGGAGACUUAACGAUGCGCUUGAAGACAAAGACCUCGAAUAAUGUCUCCACAAAUGAAGUUUCUUCGAAACUUCGCCCACCAAUGAAUUUGGUGUUUUUUUUUUUUUUUUUCUUUUUAUAAAAAAAAUAACAUGGACAAAAAUAAGGUAGAUUUUUUUUUUGGAAAAUUGCCUGUUAUGAGAUUACAAAUAUACCCAUUUUAGCAAUUACUCUAUUUUUUAUCCUUAAAAAAAAAUUAAAAACUCAUUUUUCUAGCACUACACUUUUAAAGUUUUUUUUAAUUAUUUAAUUAUUCAUCAUAUGGAAAUCUACCCUUCAUAAUACUUUAAAAAAUUAUUCUACUCAUAUUUUUUCUUAAAAUUAAAGUUUGUAUUAAUAAAAUUUAAAAGAAAAAUUAAUAUCAGGCACUGCUCUUUUACUUUUAUUUUUAGUUUACUUAUAAAAAUAGGUUUAAAUAAAUUUUGCACAUAUAAUAUAAACAACUAAAGGGGUAUAUCCGUCACACCAACAUAACUGAAGGCAAGGAGAAGGAAAAAAAAAUCCAAAAAGGCCAAGCAAAAUAAAGACGAAAACGACAAAAAUAAAUUAAAAAUAAAAAGCAGCUUCAAUUUAUUUCAGUCACUGAUGAAAUGAAACUGAAAAUCUCGUACAAAUAACCCACAGAAACCAAACAGCAAAAACUCAGAGCUUGGUUUCAGUACUAUGAUGUCUCUUCCUUGAGCUUCAACAACUUCAUCCCAAAACCAACCAUGGGGUUACCAGUUGCAGCGCUAGCAAAGCUCAAACUGGGAUUAUCAUUCUCAUCCUCCCACGCCGUCGUUUCGCCAUUCCUCCCAAGCUUGAUUUGCCCUUUCGUCAUAAAACUCGCCUGCAGACUCGGCAUGGUUCGCCGAGCUUAUUCCGACAUCAUCUACGCAUCAAGGCUCUUCAUUUUUCAACUGGGUAGAAUCGCCUUCGAAGACAGUAACCAAGACCAGGCUUUUGGGAAUAGAUUGGGAAGAGCUCUGCGGUUGGUUAGCCAGAGGGUGAUUCGGACAAGAAGGUCUCCUGCAACAACUCAAUCAGAUGAAGAUAGCUUCCAUGCUCUCUCCAUGUUUUCUCUUUAAUUAAACCCAAAAAUUUGAUGCUUGUCCAUUAAUUAAUCAAGGAUUAUGGAUUUUAAUGAUGUUUUGCUUUUCAUGGAAAAUCAUAUAUAUAUAUUAAAAUCAUGAUGUAUUUUAAUUAUAUAGCAAAUAAUUUUUUUUUCUCAAAAUCUAACUUUUGGAUCUUUUAAUUAAAUUAAGAAAUUGAAU